Molecule: long non-coding RNA, 78547 nt
Filed under: Citrus maxima (pomelo)
Lineage: Eukaryota; Viridiplantae; Streptophyta; Magnoliopsida; Sapindales; Rutaceae
Description: long non-coding RNA (CMAX_LNC003213)
Rfam family: Early nodulin 40 (bases 384-621)
Source: RNAcentral
AAUGAAGCCAGUUUUGUGCGUGUGUAUAUGCGUAACAACAGCUCCAAAAAGUACAGGAUUCAUGUAAAUUGGCAGGCAUAAUUGCUGAAAAUGGUUAGUUAUUAGGUGAAGGGCAAGAGAGUCAUCUAAAGGGGACAAGUUCUAAUUAUUAGAAACUUUUCAACCACAAGUUAGCAACUUUUUAAUGGUGAGAUUUUGUAGAAAAAAAGUAAAGGGGCUAUUUUGGCUAGUGAUCUGUCCAAAUCUUUUAUUUAUUUAUUUUUCUACUUCAGAUCACAAUUCAUCAGCUAUUUAAAGCCAAUUGACUAGAGUUUUAACUCCCCCACUUAGCAUAAAUAAGAGCCUCAUUGGAUAUUUGAUAUAAAUUUAAGAAAUUGACAGGCAUGGAAGUGCUUUGGCAAGAAGGCCCUCAUGGCUCUUAGAAAAAAGCAUCAAGUUCAUGGAGAGGGAUAUAUUCUGACGACCCUCCUCCAAAAUUCAACAGUUUGUCUGUGCUUCACUCUUUUAGCUCUCUGUUAGCAACUGAAGCAGCAGUAGCAUUAAAAUCUACCAGAGGCUUUUGGCUAAUGCAUGGCAAACCGGCAAGUCACGAAACGGCAAUGGGCUCGGCUAUUGAAUCUUGUUAUGGCUUUUUUUACUUUUUCUCUGGUUUGAAGUAUGACUGUAGUUCUUGCAUGAGUAUGGAAUAAAAAAGUUGUGUUAGUGUGUGUUAUGUAUAAGCUGCAGAAGAUCAGCAAGUUGAUUUGUUUAACUGACGAGUUUCUGCAAAUCAAGUUGAUAAUAAGAUGGUGAUCUGAUCACCUUUUCCUGCUCAUUUCUGUCACUCUCUAUUAUAUUUGUGUAUGUAUGCGCCUGAAGGCGCGCGUAUGGAUGGUUGAUGGUUCCACGUGUUUUUGGGUUUUGAAAUAAGGUAAAUUAAUGCUGAAUUUAUCGUCAGUUGGGGGCAUUAGCCCACGAUCCACAUGAUUUUGACUGGGAAAGGUCCAAAGGAUCUAAGAAAUUUUUAGACUUCCAGCUCCAGAUAUUGGGGUGGAGCUGCUGUGGGACGUACAUAGGAAGAUUUUUACAAUUUUGUGUUCUUCGCAGGCUGCUGCUAUGCUGUCUGCAAGGAGCAAGAAUACAUUCAUUUUGAAACAAGCAAAACAUUGUGCAUGCUAGAGCAGUACAGUGCAAGCAAUUUACUUAUUUUUUCGCUAUUACACAUAUUAACGAUUGCAUAACUGCAAUUUUAGCAUUAUCCUGAGCCUCCAACCUUGCUUUCAGCUAAUUCUAGUAGACCUAAAUAUUUUUAGCUCAAAAUGGAAUUGCAACUUGAGAAAACAGCCAAGAAUCUCCGGUCACUAUUCAAUCAAACAAAUGGGAAACUUCACACUUUUCUUCUGUAAUAGGAAGUGUACAUAUACAUAGUUGAUUUCUAGCUCUACAUCUGCCUGUUUUGCACAAACUCAACGUAGUACUAUUCUGAUCGUAGCUGAACAACUCAGAAAUCAGGUGAAUAGCCUGGGAAAAUAAAGACAAUAACAAGUCAAUUGUCUACAGAUCUCGUCAGCUUUUCCAAGAUUCCCUUCCAGUCUUCAAAAGUGAAACAUAUAACAAUUCAUUCCAAGUAUCUGGCACUCCAGGUAAACACCAGUGACUGCAGUCUUGAGCAUUUACAGCUGCAAUUCGUUCCUGAUCAUUUUUGUAUUCCAUCCGGUAUAUAGAAGGAUGUCCAUCUUUUCUGAAAUCUGUAAGCCUACUGAUAUUGAGAUAUACUACCGGAGUUUUCAUUUCUGGAAGCAUGUACUCCAGAGCUCUCAUUUUUGAAGGGUACUUUGCUAAGUAAGUUACAUUGAAGAUUGGCUCAGUUUCUUUGUGACACUGCCCUCCUGAGUUCCACUGCCCUCCUCUGUGAUCACAUCAAACACUCACAGUUAGUUAUCCGAAAUGGACUAGGAAAUAAGAGAAUGCCCCCUAUGACUAAUCUGUUUACAUAUACAUGACUCUUUCAAUGAAAAACAGAAGACAUAAUGAUGAUGUAUACAAAUUGUGUUAUGCUCAAGAUUUACAAAUUCCUUUUGUUAAACAGAACAUAUCAAAGAAAUCAUUGCAGCAUCAACUUAGCUCCAUUUCUUUUUUCUUUUUAAUGCCAAAUUUAAGUACAUCAAAGGUCUCAUUGCAGCAAGAAAUGCCAAGAUUCAGGGAACUACAUGUGUAUGGCAUUGAAGAAACCACUCAAUUUUAAGUGAGUGAUUACUUUAGGGAAAACUGCAUGAUAGCCACAAUUGAUUGUUUAUUCAACAGUGAGAUCCUGUGUGGAAUCCGCAGGGACGAAAGGCAAGCUCAUAGAGAUUAGUUUCCAAUUUAGAUUAUCUUAAACAUUUUACAGAACUGACACAUCUAAGAAGAAAAAAGCAUCGGAAAGUACACACAGUGUUCUUAAAAUGAGAAGAAGGUGCCACAAGCGCAACAAAGCAAAAUGAGAAGAAAGUGCCAUACUUAAAAUGGGUGACGGAAUAUCCUCUGAAGAAAACCUUAGUUCGGUUGUGAUCUACAUUCUUGUCAACCCAUCUAGCCCAAGUGGUGAGGGCCCUCUUAUAAGCUUCUAGCACUUUUAGUCUUGGGUGCACAAAGUUUCCUUCUUGGUAAUAGUCUUCUCUGCAAGGCCACAAAAUGCCAAAAAGGAAGAGGAGAAGGAAAGAGAUUGAGUUAUUCGAUUAGCAGGGCAUAUUGUCAAAUGAAAGAAAAACAUGACAUGCAGAAAAUUCUGAAGAAAGGUAAACACAACUUUCAUUUCCAUCUCAAUCAUUUUCUUUCAAACAACAGCAUUAUUUAACUCAAUCCAUGGGCUCAACAUUAUGUAAUACCAGAAUGCAAAGUGAAGAUAUUAUGAAAGCAAGCAGUGCGAUAGUCUGAAGGCACUCACCCUCUAGAAGUUUUCUCGUGUGUCCACCAAUGACCUGUAUUGAAGAUGAUGACAUCAGCAUCCUGAUACAUCGAGGUCGUACGGUCCAUCAAAUCCAGUCUUAAUGUCUCAAAUGUUCCAUUUCUGCCAGUAAAAGACGAUUCUCUAACGAGAAAUGGAGAACUAACAAAGUCCACAGUACAAUUGUAGUCCUACAAUAACAUGAAAAUUGCUGUUCGAGAGAUGCAUAUUAAAAAAAUAAAAAAAGGAAAAUUCUUCUAACCAUAAAUGAAGGACUCUCCUGAAACUCGCCUCAAAUAUGAAAGCAUAAAAACCUUUCUUUUUAAAUUCCCUCCUUCCGGAUAUCUCAUAGACUCUUUUCUUGUUUCUGAUGCUAUUGCGGAGGAUGCACACCAGAGAUUCCCACAUGUUCCGAUUCAGCGAAUCUCCCACAAAAACCAAUUUCUUGCCUCUCAAUCUCUCCAAAAAAUCAGUUGCAUUCAAACUGGAUAAGAAAUGACAAAUAGUUAAAAUUCGGAUAUGUAUUCUUUUAAAAAAAAAAAAAAAACUCAAACCACAAGGUAUCACAAAAAGAGGCUGGCAUAUAAUAGAAUCAUCGUAUAUACAAACCCUUUAUUAUGAUUAAACAUGGAGAUAAAAUCAUAAUCACAAGUGACAUGAAUUUAAUCUGAUUCAAAGAAUGAUCACGUAAGUCUCUAAUAACUCACAGAAUCUUAACAAGGUAUAUGCACAACUUAAGGCAAACAGAAGUGGAACCCAAUUCGUGCUCCUCACCACCUAAAUAAUCUGAUCAACAAUUAAAUAACACUAUUGUCAAAAAAAAAAAAAAACAAUUAAGUAACACUAACUAAUUUCAGAAUUUUGUUAUCAAUUGAGCCUCUUCAACCACCUUCAUUGACUAUAGAAUCAUUCUGCGAUGAUAUAAAGAGUGCAUUCAAGCAGGAAAAAAAAAAUCCUUGAACCCUUAUAUUUUUUUCUAAAUUCAUAAUCAAACAAUAUGUACAUUAGAAAAAAGAGAGAGAAAAAAAAAGAGGUUACACCUUGGGAUGUCACACCCAUUUGGCUGCCACUUCCAUUUAACAAAUCCGUCGUCAGGUCUCCCGUUUAGGUGACAAUCAAAAUCCCUAUCAAUAUAAGGACAUGAACCUGGUGGAUAAUAUGGCUUAGAGUCAUCUCUCACCCAUCUACCAUCAAAUAUAUUACAUUUGUCAUAAGAACUGCCAUGCAUCUUUGUAGGUUCAGAAUCAUAACGAGGAUUUGUGAUCUUAUUGUUUGAGUCAUUCAAACUUCCACCGUCUCCCGACAAAUUAGUCACAUUGUUAUUAUCGGGAACCUUGCUAUUCACAUAACUAGUAUUAUUCACAAAUUGACUCCUAAUCUCCUUUGAAUUCACAUCUCCCUUGACAACAAGGCUACAAUUCCCACAGCUCCGUCCUUCCUCAACGGGGAAGCUUCCAUUGUUAACUGUAUGAGAAAAAUUUACUUUGUCAGCACUAGAAUCCGAAAAGUUUCCAUUUCUAGAAAGAGCUGAAGCAUUUGCUUCUAGAAUGCUUCCAACUUCAGCCUCCAGAGUCAAAUUCCCCAAAUGGGCAAUCUCAUUAGACACGUUUGCUUCUUGGGAUUUUCCGACCAAAUCAACGGAGCUGUCCGCUUGCCUGCCGCCACUAACACUAACACCGGUAUCAUUUGAUACAGCAGUUGUAAAUGAGAAGGGCCAAGAAACAACACGGGAAGAAUUAUUAUUAAUAACUCUAACAAGAUUAAAUCCUUGAAACAAAGGAGAAACAGCAGGAGCCUUCAGAGAGUUGCUAAGCAAAAGCACAACAAACACAAUGACAGUAGCCGCAACACCCAAACCAAAUCCAGAAACUACCUUUCUUCUCGGAGAUAGAAGCUGCUCCGUAAACGCAACUUUUCUCGACUCCAUUAUUGCUCGCUAAUCUCUAUUAAAAUGCAUGCAUAAAUAGUUAAAAAGCAAUCGCGACCCCUCCAAACACAGAAUGAGGCGAGAAAAAUGUGAAGGGGGCGUUGGGAUCUAAGUGUGAGUGGGGUGCAAAAUGUGAAGUUUUGAGGAGAAAAGGAUUUUAAAAGUGUUUGUUGCUUUGCUUUUCGGAGAUUAUUACAAUGAAAGAAAAUGGAGUGACUGUGUUGCGUUUGUUCUGUGUUGAAAGUACAGUAGUUCAAAUUAAACUAAUUGACGGUGUUGGAAUCAGAGUUGGAUUCCUUCACAGGGUAAAGAGACUGAGAGAAAAUCUCACAGCUGUGAAUUACUAAAGUGCCCCGGUUGCUUCCAAAGCAACAUAGAAAUUUAUUUUGUCACCCUUCAAAUCUUCUUCCAUUUCACACCCUGGAAAGCAAAAUUAGAGUGUGGGAUUAGCAGGCGGUUACUGGAAGUCUCGAAAGCAAUUAGCAUACAGGUACAGGCUGCAUAAAUAUUAUUAUUUUUAAUUAAAUGAUAAUACUUUCAUUAUAUAAAAUUAUUUUUAUUUCAUAAAUAAAAAUAAAUUCAUAUUACAUAAUUAUAUGUAGUAAUUAUAUAGUGCUAUAUUUUUACAAUUUAAUAUUAAAUUAUAUUAUGUGAUAAUAUGUUAUACUAUAUUAGAGUAACUAAUAUAUGGAAAUAAAUUAUAGUAUAAUAUUGUAAUAUUUUAUUAUUUAACAAUAAUACAUUAUCAAGUCAAAAAAAUAAUUAUUCAAUGCUUAAUUUCAAAAAUCAAAUAAUAGCACCCUAAAUUAUAAUAAAUUUAAAUAAUUUUACAUAAAAUUAAACUAAUAAUAUUUAUAUAAUGCAUCUCAUACUACACUUAACAUACUAUUACAUCACAACUUAAUACAUUUUAAUUGCAAUAUACCUCAUAACAGUAUACAAUAAAUAUAGUAUAUAAUAAUUAAAUUAUUUAAUUCAAAUCGCUUGUUAAUUAUUAUUUUUUCUUAAUUUUUUUUAAAUAAAAGCAAGGGUUAUAUUUCACAGAUUAAAUUAAAGAUAACAUUUUAAAAAAUUUAAAUAAUCCUCCAACCAAAUAAAAGAUCUAGAACGCUUAAAGAGCAAAUUUAACUAAUAAAUCAACAAAAUAAUUACAAUAUUGUAAAAUAUGACUUAAGUUUGAAGCUCCACAGUAUUGAAUCUAGCAUUUGUACCUCUGAAAUAAUUUAAAAUAACUUUAUACUUAUAUAAUAAAUGAAUGAAAUAAAUUGAAUAACCCGAAAUGAAUCCAACUCCACCCUCCAACGAAGAGAAACUAGUGUCGCUAUUAUUACGGGAAUUAUUAUUAUGAUGUACAGAGUUGCUUUCUAAUCUAAUCUUCUUCAAGGGGAUCAAUAAUUGAUGCAGUUGUGCAGAUAUAAAGGGGGCACAUUCGUCACUUCCGGAGAAACAUGCGGUUCUCCAUUAACUGUCAAAAGCAUACGCGGCUCCACGGACACGUGGUGUCACCAUAGCCGUUACAAAAGCCGGAAUACGAAGUUGGGACGCGCACGCGGCACGUGCUUAUGUUUCAAGUUAAAAAAGAAAGUGCGUGCACCCAGAAUAGCGGUCCGUUGAUUGCCGGACACGUGGAGAAAUCGGGAUAUUGGUGGGACUAUUUGCUGACAGUUAUAAUUUUCGGUGACAGGAGCACGCUAUUUUGAUAACACCUGAAAUUCGCCCAUACCCUUUGUGGCAUGGGCGGAUCCAAUGAAGGGCCGGGGGGUGUGGAUCAUUAAAUUUUAUUUUAAAUGUACCCUAAAUUUUUUAAAAAAAAAUUAAAUAAAAAAAUUUAGACAUAUUUUUUAUAUAUUAAAAGACUUAUAAUUUAAUAGUAAAAGUGUUAUUUAAUGGUUUCAAAAUCUUAGUUCAAAUCUUAUUAGCCACAUUAUUUUAUUUUUUAAAAUAUUUUAUAGAAACUACUUUGAAAAAUAAUAUUUUCACGUAUUUAAAAAAAUAAUUUAUUAUUAUUAUUAUUUAAAAUUUAAAAAAAAUAAUAAAAUUUAAGUUUAUAAAACUUAAAAUAUAUUCAAGUGAACAUUAAAAAAAAAUUAAAUUAAAUAAAUUUUUUUGAACUAAAUCCCUCUUCAUUUUAGUUUUUGGGUCCGCCACUGCUUUGUGGGGGUCAUAGUUACCCGAUCGGAGAAGGCGAAACUAACGCCGUUAAGUCUAAAUUUGCCUGCACGACGGUCAGCGGAGCCAAAAACGAAGUAGACGAUGCUUCUAGAACCUUCUAAAAUUUGUAGUCCCGAUUGGAGGAAAUCUGUGUGUUUAAUGCCAGCGUUAUGUUUGUAGAUCUCUUCGAUAAAUACCAUAAAAAGGAAUUUAACUUUUUCAAAAAAAAAUAAAAAAUAAAAAGUUCAUAAAUCAUAGCCAUAACGCAAAAAGAAAGUACGUGAAAUAUUCUCUCAUAUGCUGAUUAUUAAAAUUAGCCCGUUAAAAAUUAUCACUCGCAUAGGAAGUAUCAAAUAGGCUAAAAGUAAAAGUUAAAACUCAAAUCUUUUUCUGAAAUUUGUUUCAUCAACAUAUCAGUGGUCUGCCCAUCAUAGGUUCUCCAAGAAAUCAACACAGAGAGCCAAAUUCACUUUAAGCUUAAGCUGCAAUCUUGCGAAGAAAAGAAGGCAACAACUAUACAGAAGAUCCUUUUUGGACAGACUACAUAUUUGUAUAUCUAACACAUACCAAAAUUUUGUGACAAGAAGCUCAAUCAACUGGAUAAAUUUUCCAACAAAGAACAAGAAGCUUAUACAUGAAUUUCCUCUUUUAACUUUUUUACAGAUGAAUACAUGGCGUGUUGGCAUGCAACGGCUAUCAACAGCAAUCUCAUAAUGUUUUUCACACGAAGGCUCGAAGCAUGAGUGGUGCGGUAUAUAAUGAAGGGUAAGGAUCACCUAGGACCCGAAAGCUCCAUUGCCUCUAUCACAAGUGAAGAUUCUUCUAUAAAAUCUGAGUAUCUUUUUUCAUGAGUCCGGUACCUUGGUGUCUCGAUCUUCUGCGAUGCCUCCCAUUUCUCGGCCAAACCGUCACCUUCCAACAUCUUUAAUACUUCAGACAUUUUUGGGCGGUGCAAAGGGUUAAAUUGAGUACAUAGAAGGGCCACCUGAACCAUUUCUUCCAGUUCAAUCCUGUCAAAAUUUCCCUUCAGAUCUUUAUCCACCAUUUGGCUAAGUUUUCCUUCCAGAUGGAGCUUCUUUACCUAAAAUAAAUAUAAGUUAAAACAGAAAUGUCAGAGAAGAUUUAAAACCAUAUCCAAACUUGAUUGAUUAGAGAGAAUAUGAGAACAUACCCAAUCAAGCAUCACACCUCUCUGGUUUGCUGCCCGUCCAAAAUCCAAAGCUCUCUGACCUGUUAUCAGUUCAAGCAGCAAGAUCCCAAACCCAAAUACAUCUGUCUUUUCUGAAGACUGACCCGUUGAUAAAUACUCUGGAGCAAUAUGGCCAACAGUGCCGCGCACAGCUGUGGUUACAUGGGAAUCCCUGUGAUCCAAAAGCUUUGCUAAUCCAAAAUCUCCGACAACUGCCUCAAAAUCUUCAUCCAGCAAAAUGUUGGCUGCCUUGACAUCACGGUGGAUAAUUUUGGGGUCACACUGUUCAUGUAAAUAAAGCAGACCCCUUGCCGUGCCCAGGGCAAUCUUUUUCCGUCUUGCCCAAUCUAAAGCUGGCCGACCAUGAAUGUGAUCUGCAACCCACAACAGAUCUAAUUAUUUUAGGGUCUACGGAAGACAUCAGAUCCUGGAAAAAAAUUUACCUACUAAAGUUGAAAAUUGUUUGUAUAAUCUUCACCUUUACUUUCAAGCAACAAAAGUUGAAUAACUAACUGCUUGAAAUUUUACACUUUAAAACAGAAAAACGAAAAAGGUUUUUCACCAACUGAAAAGGGAGCUGAUGAAGAUAAAUUAGUGGAUAAACUUCAAAGAAGUAUAAGCAAAAUCCAUUCCUAGAAAUUUAAGAACUAUGAUUCAUUGGGCAAGCGAUUUGAUAACCAAUGAGAUUCUCGUCACAGAAAGCAGCUACUAAGAGGCUGCUUGCUGUUUCAUAUUAAAAAGAUAACCAGAGCUUUGUCUGAAACUGUUAAGUUUGUUUUAUAACCUACCCAAGAUAUAAAUUUUGUAAGAGUCAGCAAACUAACCUCUUAAUCUUGAUGCUACACUACCAUUUGGCAUAUAGGGAUAAACAAGAAGCCUUUCAUUUUCAGUAGAGCAGAAACCACAGAGCCUGAGAAGAUUCCGGUGGACAGCUAAACUUAUCGUCUCUACUUCUGUCUGAAAUUGGACUUCACCCCCUGCUAUAUUAUAGUCCUUCAGCCUUUUAACAGCCACCAAAGCUCCAUCACUAAAGCAUCCCUUGUAUACAAUCCCAAAUCCACCUCUUCCUAGAAUAUUUUUUGAGCUGAAGUUGCUAGUUGCAGCCCGAAGCUCCUUAAAUGUAUACCUUUUCAAAUGACCCAGAGACACUUCUGGAUCAUAUUGAUCUGCCACACAACAUAUAGUGGAUUAGAAAGCGUGGAUAAGUGGAUGACAAAAAAUGGUUCAAUGCAACUAACUAAUUAUAUUAUGAAUUAUAAUUUAAAAUGUCAUGGAUUAGAAAGCAUGGAUAACAGAAGCGCCUGUUAAUGGAGAGUGGAUAAUUCGAUGCUUAUGCACAUUAACUAUGUUCGAACUUCGAAGUCCACUUUAGUUCCAAUAAUAAGGGAGAUGGAGAUGAUCUCACAAUCCAAGAUUUGAUAACUGAACUUGAUCUGCACGGCAACCUUUCUUCACUCAUUUUAGUAACUUUGUAGACGUUAAUUAAGCACCCAUUUACUUAGUCUCCUAGUCUUCAAGUCAUUUACAGCUCCUUUCAAACAUAAAUAACUUUAAAACAGAGGAUAACUACUUAAAAAGCUCCAACAACACAUGAGGACUUAAAAUAAUUAAUAACGUUUUGCAACAACACAUCAAAGAUCUUAGUGUUAUUAAAAAAUUUUAAUUUUUUCGACAAAUAUAGUACCAAUAACGUUCCCAGCUAACCACCCAACAGCAGGAUUUGCAUUCAAAGGGGGCUACGUCAUUACUGCUUGCAUAACUACUUAUGCUUCUGUCAAGGAUUUUAGCAAUAACUCACUUGUGAAGACAGCCAUAAACCCAGAAGAAUUUACAAAUAGCUAUGAAAGCUUUUCUAUGGGGUUAUAAUCAUUUGUCCUAGUGAACCAAACCCAAAAGUGUGUACAUGGCUCUGCACACUCACCAUCAAAUAUUGAUUAUAUAUUACAGCAGGCUCUAGUAAUUGUUAGCUACUCACUCUGUUUAGAAUGUGUGAAUUAGGAAUCUAUUUCUUGUUGUGCUUAAAGAUUAUAAACACGAAUGGUCAUAUUGGGCAAUAUAUCUUGUGUGUGUGUGUGACCAUAAAAGUGCUGUGAGAAUGUAAGCAUUAAUCAUGUGGCAAAGCAAAAGAAAGAGACAAAAACUAACCAUUGACAUCAAAGAAAAUCUGCUGAUUGUGUCUGUAACGCAACCAAACAAGUAAGCCGACAACAAUUAUGACAAAAAAAGCAGCACCAAAGCUUGCACCCAAAGCAACAGCCACACGACGGCUUUUUGUCCCAGAGUCUGAUUGAUCUAUGAAAUCACAGAUCCAGCAGUUUAACUAUUUCAUCAGAAGGUUGUAGAGUAGAAUAUUGUGAAAAAUCAAACAAUCCUAGAUAGGCUAUGUAGCAGAAACCUUUAAGACCAUUUGGCGGAAGGGAAAGAGGUUCCGGAAAGACAGCAGUACAAUUGUUGGUCGCCUUCGGUCCGCAAAUCAGAGGAUUUCCUGUAACUCUGAAGAAAAUAGAGAGAAUCAGAAUAAUAGAAACCAUUAAUACAACAAUCUGUAGAAAGAACAAAUAAGUUUGGAACAAGGAAAGAAUGGCUUACUUGAAUGUUCUUGCUGAUAUUUUAGGCAAAGAACCGCUUAGAUUGUUAUAGGAAAGGUCCCUACAAGCAGAAUUAACCUUCAGCGGUGAAUAAUUUAUAUAUACUGAAGUAACAAUGAAUUAAACUUCUUCAUUUCCAGCAAAACUAGGAAGUAAUCAUGUGCAGAAGUUAAUCAUACAUACACUAGAGUAAGACUUUCAAUCUUGGACAAAGACUCGGGGCAUGAUCCUGUAAGGCUAUUAUUGUUCAACCGCCUGACUUGCUCAGCCAAAAACAUAGAACAUGUAGGAAUUAGAAUCAACAUCAAGCGUAAACAGUAUGUGAAAGAUGGACAAAGUUUAUGCUAAUUAAGGAUGCAAGAUGAGAAGCAGUGUAAGGAUUCUGAAACUUACAAAUAAUUCAGAUUUCCAAGGUCCCCCAAUGAGUCAGGUAUUUCACCAGUAAAUUUAUUGUUGGAGAGAUCAAGAGUCUGAAGCUUCUCCAACUUCCCAAGUGAAGCAGGAAUAGGGCCCGAAAUUGCGUUAUUCUGCAGUAACCUACACGUUUAUGCAAAGGAUGAGCAAUACGUCAGCCAUAUUGGCUCUGCAGUAGGUGAACAAACUGAAAAUUCACGAGGAAACUACAAAUAUCAAAGUGAUAAGAAUGAUGAAUUCAAAACCAAAACAAGAAGCAUGGAGGUAAUUACUUACACUGAUUGCAACUUGGUGAGGUUUCCAAUCCACGGUGAUAAGGUCCCAGAUAAGCUCUGACUAGGAAGUCCCCUGUUUAAAGCAAGGAAAACAUCAGUUAGAAGUUGCCUCAUGUAGAAAGUGGAAGAAUUGUGAUACAACGAGAUUCAAACAACUUACAGAGCAGAAACAUAGCCAUCAGGUGAACAAGUAAUCAUUCUCCAGCUACAAGGAUCCACGGAAGUGAUAUCCCAAUUCUCCAGAACAUUAUAAGGGUCAUGUAGAUUGUUUUUAACGGCCACUAAAGCUACCACUGCCCCAAUUUAAAUGGAAAACAAUUAAUAAACGAAGGAACUUAGCCUUCUUUACCAUAACAUAAACAUGUUUUGUCAGCCAAAACAGUGUUAAACUAAAGAAAAGAUUGUGGGUACUAAAUAAGACAUCAUUAUGAAGGACAUUUAAGAAGUUCAGAUAGUCUUGCAGUGCACCAAAGCAUUUACUCAUAAAAGAACAAAAAUAGUUCAACUUGGAAACAAAAUAAUGGGCGUCAAAGAGAAGGGAAACAAUAAUGAAAAACUAACCUUCAUAGUUAAUACCAGCAGGAGAAAGAGUAGCAUAACAAAUAUCUAUCAAUGCCAAAACCAAAAAUCCCACCCUCCAAAACUUGUAACUCUUCAUUUCCAUAGUCUAUUUUCAGUCGAGUAACAUCACUCUGUAUCCACAACUAUUAUCACCAGCCAUUCUCACAUGAGGUGAACUGUCAAAUGUUUUUCUUUGCUUUGCCUUAUCCAAAACAAAAAAGUUCCCUCUCAGAAUCAGAACCCACUUAAAAGAAAAAAAGGAACUUUUUAUCGCUUACGCUUCAAGAAUGGGAAACAACAGACACCCAGUUGAUAAAAACAGUGUCUUGAAUGUUUCCAGUAGAGAUAAAACAGAGAGAGAGAGGUUUGGGAGAACGAAUGAAACAAAGUAGAAUGAGGCACUAUACGGGCCGACACAAGGAGCAAAAGAAAGUGAAUUUUCUCGAGAAAGAAACAGGUAUCAUCAUCAAGCCUGAAAUUCUGAGAUCCUAGAGAUCUGAGUUUGGUUUACUAAAUGGCUUUUGGGGUGAUCCAUGUGGGUUGUGCAACUGUGUUGUUUGCUUUCUAUCUUUGGUUGUUGUUCUUUCUCACUCUGCUGUUGAUUCCACUUCUCUCAUUAUCUUCUUUGCUUUUCUAGUUUUAAACAACACAAAAAGGAAACAUUUUUGAAAAAACAAAAGCAAGUAAAAUGAAAUUCACUUUAGUACAGAAAGCAAAGAACCAACACACGCAAAGGCAAAAGCAAAAGGCUAAAAAAUAACACAGAUACAGAUGCAAGUAGUAUGCAGCCACAGACUCAGUAACUAAUGGGAAACCCAAAAAAAAAAAAAAAAUAAAUAAAAAUUUUUUCUUUCUUGCUCUACAAUUACAUUGAAGUGUAAACGUAAAUGGAAUUAAACAAUUAAAAUGAGUGAUUGGACCGAAGGGUGAAGAGGGGUGUGAGGCAUUGAUCAGAGAGGAACAAUGGGAUGUCGUCUAUUGUCGAUUUUUGCAAAAAGAAAAAUUUUGUUGCAGUAACUUGUUUGUUUGGCAGGUCACGUGCUUUGAUUGUCUUGCCUUUUGUUUGCUUUCGCCUUUUUUUUUUUUCACGAAAAAGAAAAUUAUGAAGUUCUGUUAAAAGUUUCUGCGGACAAGGUCCCACGAUGCUAACGUGCGCCGGAUAUUUAACAGUUUUGAAUUCACGGUCAUUAUAUUUUGUUAGUGGUAGGUUGACGGAUUAUGCAAAUUGGGAUGGUACAGAAAAUUUUCAAGUGGAUUAUGAUCUAUUUAAUUGGUAAUAAAAGAUUCGUAUUAAAAGUUUUGAUGAAAAUGCAAGAUUUUUAAUUUUUUUUUAAUUUGUUGCCUUCUGUUAGAAGGCAUGUGUCGAUUCAGUCCCGUACAAAUUAAUGUUUAUGUAAACACCAUUAAAAAAAAAAAAAAACCAAUUAGAUAGGGCCACUUAAGUCACGGACCGGUCAGGCGUGGUUAGUUAGACUUACGAGUUUAGACCAACGGACCUGUCUGUCUGUUCUGCUAAGAUGCGCCAGAUCCAACAAUAAUGCAAAAUGGCCAGGCCAAUAACAGUGAUCAUUCGAUGGCCCCAUCCAUUGCUUUAUUAACAUCAUAAAAUUAGCAUAUAAAUAAAUAAAUAUAAUUAUACAAAACAUCGCAAUAUCAAAAAUAAAUAUUAAUAAAUUUUGGUUGAUUCUUGACCCUGGCGGCAUAACGUGAAUAUCAACCCAAGUUUCAACAAAGCUAGACUGGAGCUAGUGAGUGGGGAUGGUAAAGUUCAACAAUACCCAAAAAAAAUAUAUAUAUAUAUAUAUAUUGGUGUACUGUACACUUGAAAUAAUGGCAGUGAGAAUUUAUUCACUAAAUAUAAUUUUAAUAAUUAAAAAAAAAAAGAGAGAUUUGUGGAGGUGCGUGCCAAGGUUUUUGUACCCUUGCUUAAUGCUUAUUCUUUAUUGGAUACCGUGAGAAAGAAUCUCUAAAAUGCGCCCACCGGGACACAUGCCGCAUGUCUUGCCCACAUGGACAAUCCCGGUAUUUCCUCAUUCUCUCUCUUUAUGUUUUUUUCUUACAGAAAUAAAAUAAAAUAAAUAAAAUAAUAAUUUGUUGUGAUAUUUGCCAAUUGGUCAAUAAAACAAAAUGGCAUUCACGUCUCAACUCUCAAUAGCAAAAAGUAACUUUUGAUUCAAAGUUCAUUUACAGAAAGUGACGACUGGAGUGGAGGAGCACUCGAUUCAGGCUUUUUGUAUUAUAGUCUAUCAAUUAAUCUGUUUCGUUGAAAAAAAAAAAAAAAAAAAAGUCUUAAAAAUAUAUAUAUUAAUUUGGGAAACCACCCAUUAUUCCAAGAUUAAAUCACUUUUUCUUCUCACACAUGUGCACCGAUGUUUAAGUUUCAUCGUGUUUUUUUGGUAUAUAUUUUCUUUCAAUUUUUUUUUAGAUGAGCUUUAAUAUGUUACGAGUCUAAGCAUGCAAGUUAUGUCAUAACAAUCCUAUUUAAGUAAUGUCUCAUUUUCUUAUUAUUGUAAACUAUAUAUUUCGUCACAUAUGCUAUCCCAAUAAUACAUUUUCAAAGUAAAAAAUAAUAAUAAUAAUAAUACUACAUUUAAUGGUCUUAUGUCAACCAUUAGAUUAAACAAAAUCAAUGAAUAUGUGAAGUGAAAAUCUUAGGUUAAUUUUAAUUAAGCCAACUUUAUGAGAAAUUAUUUUAUUUUUAGAGAAAAAUAUUACCGAAGAAGGAAGCUAAGAAAUGAUAAGGAUGCAAACAGAGAAAGUCAAGGAACAGAAUCCGGUUCCGAUUAAUUAAAAUACUAUUUAUUGUGGGUGGGUAAACGGUGAAAAGGACUGAUGAGCAGAAGGAAAUGGGUUUGGGUUAUAAUUAAUUAAUGUGUUAAUCAGGAAUAAAAUAAAGUAGGAUGAUGCCUUGAUGUGCUGUUAAAGCCUAUAACGUGGAAACCCAAAACCCAAGGGUAUUUUUGUCGCCAUGGGAAGCCUCCCUGAAUGAAUAUUCUCCAACUCACAACUUUGUUUAUGCUGAUAAUUUUAAUUUAUUCAUUAUUUCUUUAUAUUCAAAAGCAGAGAAUUGCCAGUUAGUUUGCCACGCACGAGAUUACCCAAAUUUCAAUGGGCAUGUUGGUCGCUUAAUUAGGGUGAGUGAAAGUGAGAUUAAACGCCCCCUAAUAAAUAUCUAACGCGCCCCUCAACCACUUAAAACCUAAAUAUAUUUGCUCCUCUAUAUUAAUAUGUCUUGCUAAUUCAUAGGUAGAAUAUUCAAAAUUAAUUUGUUAUUGCUGUCGUUUGUAAAAUUACUUUUUCAUUGCAGUGGGGAACUUGCAUGAUUGUAUAAGGACUAUGGUGAUUUAUUAAUAAUUUUAACAAAGGAUGGUAAUAAAUGAGUUGAGUUGCCUUUUUUUUCUUCCCCCCCGCCCCUCCAUGUAAGACUUGAGUUGCUUAAAACUAUUUUAUUUGAAGCUGCAGAUGAACCCCUUUCAGGGGAGAAAAAAAUGGUAAAUGAGUCGAGUUGACUCAUUAACGAGAAUACUCAACUUCAAUUAACGAUGUCAGUUUCUAUUCAGGUGGUAUAUAUAUAUAAACGGAUCAUCGAAUCGUACUUGUGUUAUCUCAUAUUUAGUUGAUCCAAGCACGAUUUAUUUAAUAAUUUUGUUAAAAUAUUGAAACUCUAACUCAACGUAAAAAAAUAAAUGAGUUACUCAAUAAUUCACUUAAUAUCUAUAUAUUUAACAAAAUUUACAUUAAAUAUUAUAUGUUUGUGUGCGUGCGCACGUCGAUAUUAUAAAAUAUAUAUAUCCGCUAAAUAUUACAUAUUUAUACUAUUGAAGUUCUAAAAUCAAUAUAAAAUUUUAUAAAUGAAAUAUUGUGUGUAUCUUCAUCCUUAUAAAAAAAAAAGAUAAUCAUACCUAAUAUUUUGAGUUUUGAUAACAAUAACCUACAAAUUAAUUUAAAAUAAAAAAUAUAAUCGUGUCAUUAACUGGAUAAAUGGGUUAAGAACUUUAACUCUAAUCUGAAAAGAAAAAAAAAUUGUGUCAACUCAAAACGCAGUUUAUUUAAUAAUCGCAUCAAAUUUGAAAACUCAUACCCAUUUAUUCUUGUCGUGUCGAGUAAUGGGUCAUGUCAAAUUUUGAUAUCCCUCUCUCUCUCAAUGGAUUCUCACUUUGUUAAAGUGACAAUGCCCUCUAUAUUUUUUGUGUUUUAGCAACAUUUUUACUUUGUUAAAAUAAGGGAUAAACUACAAAAUAAGAAAAAACACACAUUCAAUAUAUUAUAGGAUGAAAUAUAUUUAUAUUAGAGUGUGUGCUUCCUUAAUUUUUUAGUUUGUCUUUUACUUCAAUAAUUUAAGAGAUUCUUUAUUAAAUAAUGACUACAUGUAUAAAAUUAUUUUUUGGUAUAAAUAUCGACAUAUUUUAAAAUAGGGAUUCACUGUAUACACCAAUCCAUAUUUUAAAGGAUGUAAACAUUUGCACUAGAGAAUGAUAUUAUUAUUAUUAUUAUUAUUAUUACUACUACUACUACUACUAGUGUGUCUAUAUAUAUAUAUAUAUAUAUAUAUAUAUAUAUAUAUAUAUAUAUAUAUAUAUAUAUAUAUAUAUAUAUAUAUAUAUAUAGAGAGAGAGAGAGAGAGAGAGAGAGAGAGAGAGAGAGAGAGAGAGAGAGAGAGAGAGGGAGAGGAAGAGAGGGAGGAGGAGUCAUUCUCUAAUUUUAAGUCGAGAAUGUCAUUAAAAUAUAAAAAAUAUACAUAUUUUAAUACAUAAAAAUUGUAUUUUUUUAAUUUGUUAAUAACAUUCUUUAUUUUAACAAAGUGAGAAAGUUCCCACUAAAAAAUAAAUUAAACAAUUAUAUGUGUGUGUGUGUAAGAGUCUCUCAUGCGCAGACAAUAAAAUACAAAUUUUAUGUUGAUGUGGUUAAAAGAUAAUUUUUUUAAAAUGUAUUAUUUGUUUUUAAGUCUAUGAGAGUUCGUAUUUGCGUAUAUCUUAACUGUAUCUACACUAAGGUGAUGUUUGGUUGGGAGGAGAGAAUGGAGUAGAGAAAAAUAAUUUAAAUUCUUUUUUUUAUUUCCAUUGUUUGGUUUGACAAAAUAUAUAAGAAUUUAAUUUCCAUUAUAAUUUAAUAUUCAUCAUAAUGUAGAAUUUGAAUUCCACACUAAGUAGUGAAGAAUUUAAAAUUUUCUUAUUUAGAAACUAAAAUUUUCAAAAUUAUCAUUCAACUUUUUAACUUGUUUAAUGGCAUUAUUAAUUAUUAUUUUAUUGAUUUAAUAUUAUAAAUGGACCUCCACAGGAAAGUCGUCGGACCACUGUCGGACUUUGCCGUACCGCUGCUGUGCCGCCACCAGACUUUCGCCAUACCUUCGCCGCCGACCACCGGACUGCCAUUUUAUUAUAUAUAUAUAUAUAUAUUAUUACUAAUAUAAAUAGUUUAAUAUUUAAGGUAAAUGUUAAAUUUGUCUAAAGAAAAAAAAUUAUAAUUCAUUUUCUUAUCAAAUUUUAUAUCAAAACAAAUAACAAAAUAUAAUUUUACUACUAUUCUCCAUUCCUUUCUUCUCUCUUCCUCUCCAUUCCACUAUUUUCCUUUCCUCCAUUUUCUUCGAACCAAAUACGGCCUAAAUACAUAUUUUAGCGUUUACAAAUGAGAAGCUCUCUGCAUACAUAUUAUCUGACAUGAUUACAAUUUGUCAAUUUACAACCGUGACUCCGUGAGACGGCAAUGGACCAAGCCAAUGGCAGUAAUUAUAAUAUUUUCAUAUAGAGAGUAUCUAUAAAAUGAAUUUGUGUUUUUCUUUUUUUAUCUUUUAAUUGAUUUUUAAAUGAUAUGUGUACUAUAAUAUUUUUUUAUUUUUUAAAAAAAGGCGAUACUUCUGUGAUUCAACACUGUUUCUGCAACCAUAUCUCUCGGCAAAUAUUCAGAGUAGAGAGCAAGAAGAGUAUCAAUCUAUGAGUGAAUCUUUGAAGCGGGAGCUCGAUCAAGCAAUGCAGAAACAAAAAAACAAAAUUGGAUUUGGAUCAAACACUAAGGUGCUAAGGGGGGCCACCCAGCGCCGGCCCCUAGGAGAUCAGACUGAUUGAUGUUCAAUAAAAUAAUAUAUAUAUAUAUGUACUCAACAUGGCGAUAUGUCCCAUCCUUAUUGGACCAACAUCUAAAAAAUCAGAUGCUACAUAGCGUGGUGAUUAUGCCCCUUUUUUGAAAUCACCUUUUUUUCUUUUAAAAAGCAGUCUUUGAAUUAUGAAAAUGAAUUAAAGAGUUCUCGAUUUGAAAGCGGGUUCGUUCGAUUUUGGAUAGCCGGACCACCAGACUGAGAGACUUGCAUGUGUUUGAUUUUUUAGAUGAAGCGAAGCGACGCAAAGCCAAGGGAAUGGAAUAGUGGAAACAGGAAAGUACACAACAAGUAACAACUGUUUCUUUUUUUUUUUUUUUUCCAAAUUCUGGGUUGUUUUUAAGUUGUGGAGAUGAUUUCAUAUGGGUCCAUGAUUUUUUGGCAUUGGCUCUAUUUUAAAGUGGUCCCUUUUGUUUUCAAGUGACGAUUUUUCAUUUGGCGGACCACCAACCCUGAACCAACUUGGAUCAUUAUUCCAUUUCAAUAUUUCAUUCUUUAUUCGUAUUAUAAUAUUCAAAUUCUUUUAUUCGAUUCUUGUAACUAAUUUAACCAUGUGGCGAACUACAAUUUGUCAUCCAUAAUUGCUUUGCUCAUCGUUUAGUCUUAUAUAAACUAUCAUCUCCACCUUUUAAAAAAAAAAAAAAAAUUCUUUUAAUCCAUAUUUACAAGAAUUUUCGACUACUAUACAUACCCUUGACAAGUCAGAGUUUCGAAAAAAGAUUCCAUGCAAUGGAACUGGGCUGCUUAAUCCGCCAGUCCCGACGAAGGGCUUUCCAAACACUAUGGGCCUACACUUGGGCUUUUGGGCUGGUGCAGAGAUCCAUAUACUAAAUCUAAAUGAUGAUUUUUAUUUAUUCUCGGGGGAGCAACAAAUUGUCGGUUUAAAGAUGAGGUCACAACGGGACCCUUCUAAAAUCUGAAUCAAGGAGCAUCUCCGCUGGCAUACGGGCCUCAUCAAGACAGCCACAUCCUCAUUAAUCUUAAACUGUAGGUUGGGUUGAAAUGGUAGGAGCUUCGAACAUGCUCCGAUUGGGAUUGAAUUUUGUACUGAUGUGAUACGCUCAUCCAAAAUAUAAUUGUAUGUAAAGCUUAUUCUUGAGUUUUUUAUUUUAUUUUGGUUGUUAUUAAAGUGUAUUUUUGACCCAAUAAUAACUAGUGGUUGUGUCUACAUUAGUUUAUUUAAACUAGAAAUGUCAUCAAUAAAGAAAGAGUCUUGAGAAUUAUUUUGGUAGCUAUAAUAAGACCCGCUUUCGGUUGGGGGUAGAUGAGUGGGGGAUAGAAUAAUUUUAAAUUUUUUUUUCUACUUCUCACUGUUCAGUUGCCCCAAAUUUAAACAGUUGAAGUUCAACGUCAAUCAAGUUGAGGAAUUGUACUUCAAAUUCCUCUUCUAUUAUAAUGUAAAAAUGCCAAAAUUAUCCUCUAAAUAAAAUAAAUUUUUAAAUAAGUUCAAGAUUUAAUUAAUAAUUAAAAGAAUUUAUUGCAAAUUAUUUAUAUUUAUUUUAUUAAAUAAUAUGAUAAAACUAUUUGAAAAAAAAAAAAAAAUGCAGUGCAUUGCAAUUGCCAGAUCGUCACUGAAACAGUCGCUGGAAUUUCAUCAUAGACACACAUCACAUCGCCACCAUUACCAAUAGCAUCAUUUUGAGCCAAUUUACAACUCUACGGAGUUAGAAAUGCCUAUAUAUAUUAUUAUCUAUUUAAAUAUCGUUGACAAUCCAUGGACUAACUAUUGUAUUUUUUUUCAAAUUUACGUUGACUAUUACAUUACUUGUAUUCAAUAACCAUAUGUUUAGAAACUAAUUUGAACUAAAUAUAAUUAUUUGUGCAUGGUUGAAAAUUUCAAAUACUGGAGAUAUAAAAAGGCACAUCUUUAGAUCAACAAAAAUAAACGCAAGCAAAGAUAAACUAAAAAUACUAAAAGACUAAAAGCCUUGUGUAUGUAGUCACUCAACAUAUUAAAUCUGAAAUAUUAAAACAGAGCAAACGUAUAAAAAAAGAAAGAAAAAAAAUAUAUACAAUAAGUGAGAUGUGCGGGACUCAGAAGAAGAGGUCAUUGAAUUUGUUUGAAGUAUACAGAUCGUGGAUUUUCAUGCAGCAAAGCCCUCUGCAAAUCUCCGAUGCCGACGCUAGAACACGUCAAAAUUAACCUGCCCUUUAUUUUAGCAUCCUCCUCGUCCACCACCACAUUCUUUAUUUCACUCCAUUUACACUCGUCAUCACCGCAUUCACCAAUCUCGCAAAGCACCAAAUCUUCGGAAUUUGAAGGAUUAUUCAAGUACACUGAAUCUCCCAUCGACGUUACACUGACGCUAGUUAGAGAAGCGCUUCCACUUCCACUGCAGAUCUCUUUAUUCCCUUUCAGCUUCUCCAAAAGCGCUUUUGGCAUCUCACCUAUCUCCUUCAACUCUUCCAACGACCCCCCUUUUAUAUUUACCUGCCAUAUCUUUAAACUCUUGACGUCCUCAGCUUCCCCAGUGAGCCCCACCGCAAUCAAACGGUCGUUUGCAAACGUGAUCACGGAAUAAAAUACCUUCUUCUCGUGAUCAAAUUGACGUAAAUGGAACGGUCCGGACCAGCCCUUAGUACUGGGGUCGAAUGAGACCGUAAUGCCCGAGUACUUCUCAGUCACGUAAAGUUGACGAGAAUUUACCGCAACCGACAGCCAAGUUGAGGCAGCUGAGUCUUUGAGAACGGCUGGCAUGCUUUGGCAGAUUUCCCACGCGCGAGUGUCGACACUGUACAUCUCCACGGCCAGCGGGUCGUCUUCGAAGUCGCAGGCACCGCCGGCCACGACGACUUUGUCUCCGACCAAGGCGACAACGGGGUCGGUCCUCCACACGCGAGGGGCGUCCACGUGGUGCCAGGCGAGAUGGAGGGGGUCAAAGGAGAAGGAGAGCUUGGAAGGCGAGAGGGUGUAGAGAAGCGUGGAAUGGGAGGAGCGGAGGAGGAAGUCGAAGGACGAGGGUUGAUUGUUCUUGAUUUCGAUCCACACGUGGGAGCGGGCAUCGUAAGCGUGCGCGGUUGUGAGGUAGGGGGCCAUAGUUCUCUGCGACUGCGUAUGCAGCAGCAGCCAAGGCUUGAUUUUGUUGACGCGACGGAGAGAAGAGAAGACGGCGCGGUUCCAUGAUCUAGACACGUAACAAGCAGAGGCGAGGUCGAUCAGUGGCACCUGCGACAGUAUGGCCUCUAAGAUGUCUCCAUGGACAAUACUAUUAUUAGUAUUGCUGCCACUAUCACCUUCUGGGGCUACUGCUUGUUUAUCCAUUUUCGAUUGUAUUCUUCGUUUCAGCAAAUCCUCUUCUUCUUUGACUUUAUAUAGGCUAGGGGGAGUGGCGUGAAAAAAAUUUAUGACGUAAUCCAAUUAAUUCAUGCACAGAAUAAUUAAAUUUAAUAUAAUUAUCACUUAUAUAAUAAUUUUUAAAAAUAAAUAAAUACAUAUUAUAAUAUUAUAUAUUUAUUGUAUAACUGAUAUAGUAAUUCUGAUGUAUUAUAAAAUUUCUCAAUUACACGAUUCUCAAAGUGGGUUGAACAAACAUACACGCGAUUCAUUUAUUUAAAUAAGAUUGAUUUUUCUUACCAUAAGAUGGUGGAGAAAAAUCUAAUACCUGCUUUUCUUCUCCGUAAUGUUAUGUUGUUGGUUGUGUAUAUAUGUGAAUAUAUGACUCAUCAUAUAAUGGCUAUAAGUUAACACUUACCUAAUAUUACACUUAAUAGAUUUUCUUUUCCACUUACAUAUUUAUAUUUAUAUUAUGACGGAAAUUCUAAUUCAAGACAAGUAGAUAAUAUAUAUACACUCAUUUAUGCUGCUCAAUUGGGAGUAUUCAUUAUAUAUAUAUAUAUAUAUAUAUAUAUAUAUAUAUAUAUAUAUAUAAAAGUGCCAUUAGAGUAUAAAAACAGUUGGUUUGAUCACCUCUUGCAGUGAAAACGAUUAAUGUUAAAUGUUUAAAUUGUGCAUAAAAAUUAAUUUUCUCGUGCACCAAAUUUAAAAGUGAAAUUUAUAAAUAAAUAAAAAAGUUUUGUUUAGUACAUGAAAUUGGGAGUGAGGUUAGCGUGUUGGAAAAAUAAAAUUAAAAAAAAUAAUUAUUAUAAUAGAUUGCAGCGCAAUGUUCUCAAUAAAUAAAUAAUUCACCACUAGAUAUACGUGCUACUUCAAUAAGUAAAUCUUUCACCUAAAUUUCUAAAAAUAAAUAUUAAAUUAUUUUUUUUUUUAAUUUUAAAAAUUUAAAAACCAUAAUUUUUUUUAUCCUUAUAAAAUUUCAGUAUUAAAUAAAUAAAUAAAAUACUUGAAGAACAUCAAUAAGAUAGUGUUUUAUCAUCACACAAAUCAUGUUUUGUUGAGUACAACCCCUUUAAUUUUUUAAAUUGGAACAAGUUAAUCAAUUGUAGUUUAUGAGGUUUUAUAUAAAAAAAUAUUCACAAAAAAUUAUAAAGAUAAAUAGUACAAACGUUUGAAGAAAAUAUAAAGAUAAAAAUAAUUAUAAUCCAUUACUAUAUUAUCACAAGUUUUAGAGAUGAAUAGUAGUGUUUAUUAGUAAGUUUUACUUUGGUAAAGAAUGAAAUUAAUUAAUUAGAUAGAAGAAUUUUGAGAAUUAUCUUUUAAUGAUGUUAUUCACACAUUUUAAAUUAAGAAAAAAUUAGUUUAAUAAUUUAAUGAAUAAAAAUUUCAUUAAAUUGAAAAAAUAAGUAGAUUUAAUGACUUGAUUGAUUGGAAAUAAGUUAAUUAAGUCAUUAAAUCAGAAAACAACAGCCCCUUAAUUACCCCAUCUUUUAUUUAUUUAUUUAUUUUAUUGUCUUUUUAGGCCGACUACAUUGCGGCCAUGUUGUUUGUUGUAAAAUAAUAAAAUAAAAGACACUAGAGAUUUUUAAAUUUUCAAUUGCAGUGAUGCUCCUAGAAGCCGCAGUUUGAUUCUCCAGCACCUUUCUGGGACGUCGGCAUGAAAGCAAUUUUCCAAACUUACCAAUUUGGACAAAUAUAAUUAAAGUCUUCUUUAUUGAUGCAAAUGCGACACAUACAAAUAUGACAUGAGCAACCAACUCGAAUUGCCACCUAUACCGUUGUCCAUGUGUGGUGCUAGUGAGUGAGGAAAAAGAAUAUAUUAUAUUUAUUUCAAAUUUAUACUUUUAAUUAUUUUGAAAUAUAGUAACUGUUUAGAUUUUUUUUUUUUUUUUUUAAACAUUGUCUCAGCUAAGUUGAUGAAGUAUAUUAACUGUGUGGAUGUGUGGUAAUGACUUUUUAAAAUGUUGGGGUGGGAGUAACAAAUAUCAAUUCAUUUAGUGUGCGAUUAAUUUGAAUUAUUCUUUCAUUUUAGGGACAAAAUCUCAACAAAAAAUAUAAAAACCUUUUCUCAAACAAACAAAAAUGAUUUUGUAGACUUAUAAACUAAUUCUUUAUUAUUAUUGAUGAAUUAAUAUAUUUUUUAUUAUCUGAUCAAAAUAAUUGAUUAUGUGUUAAUAAAAAGUUGUGUUACGUAAAGAUAAUAAACAUUAAGUACAUAGAACAUGAAAUUAAAUUCAUUUCUAAAAUUCUGUAAAUUUUAUACACUUUAGAUGGUAAAAUCGCUUGUAUUAAAAAUAAUAGACAUUGAGGUUCGAACCCUGCUCAUAUGGAUGGAGAGGUGAUCGGAUAGCCAUUAAGCUAAAUAAAAAAAAAAUCAUAUCUAUAUUUAUCAUCAAUUAUAGUUAGUAAAUAAUAUAUAUAUAUAUAUAGUUUUACUAUAUAUUAGUUAAUAAGAAAAAUUAUUAAUUUGACUAUAUUAGUAAGGGCUAUCUUGGUAAUGCUGCAUCUUUUAAAAUAAUUGUUAUCAGCUGUCCUGUAGAAAUAAUCAACUGUGAAGAGAAUCAAUUAAACACUUAAUAAAAUUUAUUUUCAAAAGUACUGUGCGUUUUAAAAGCAGUCGUACAUAUUUGGUAAAUUUUAUUGUUAAAUUGUUGUGAUAAUAUAAAUAACUAAAGUAUACAUGAUAUUGAAUAAAAUUUAUUUACACAUUUAUAAACUUAUGUAUAAAAUUAUUUUUUAUCACGUAUAUAUAAUAAUUGAUUACUAAUACUAUUAAUUUAUUUUUUUAUUUGAUUAUCUCGAUGUAGUUGACAAUAAUAACACUCUUUAAAUUUAAUAAUUUUAUUUUUUAAAUAUUAGAAAUUAUUUUAAAUUUUUAUAAUAUGCACAAGAAUAUAUAUAAAAUUAUAUUGGGUAUAAAACACACGUUAACCUUACUUCAAAAUAACUCUGAAUUAUUUAUUAAGAGUAAACACGUGAGGCAUAUUCUAUGAAAUUUUCAUUUAUCUAUUUUAUUUUAGGUACUAUCACCAUACGACGGCCCCUGUUAUAGUACUCGAGGUGAACUAUAUACUAACAAACAUAUAAUUUUGUUCUCUUAUUUUUUUGUAUUUUAAUUUACACGCAAAAAUUACAGAUGAUAAAUAAAAAUGAGUUCAAUGAAUUUAUUUUACAGGGAAAUAUUUAUCAUCCCGCUUUUAUGUGUAAUAUCAGGCGCGAAUUCAACAUAAAUAUUUAAUGGUGUAGACUGUAUCGUGUAUUACUAUGUAGUGUUUCGGGGCAUCGCGCCAAUUUCGGUUACGGCGUCGCUUUCAGCGGGUUAUAUAUGUAAUCCAACUGCGUGAAAUUUGGACCACUGUUUGAUUUUUUGUGUUUGAGAUUAGGCUUCUUAAUCUUGAAACUGGGGCAGGUCAAUUUAAUUUCAAACAAUUUUGAGCAACAAGUUUCAGUGGACGGACCCACCUGGGUUGGUGAGGGCAUUUUCCUUUUAAUGUAUGUCCUCCUUAUCUGCUUUAUUGUGUUGUUGCCACGUGACUUGAAAAUUGGAAUUAAAUUAAAUUUUGGAUUCGCCCAGGGACGUCGACAGUGGUACCCAUAAGAAUUAAUUACGGUUUCGUGGACUUUUUAGAAAAUUUGGAUUCUCUUUUCUCGGCAGUCGUCUUAGGAAAGAGAGAAUUUUAGGAUCAAAAUUUUGAAAAACGAAAUGGAUUUGAAAAUCUUCGUAAUCCAAUUAGUUGACGGAUAUCGUGUUACUUACUACUUAGAUAGAAUCCGCUGGAAUUAAUAUUAUUACUUCGGAAUUGUGACAUCGCUCUCGUCGAUUUUAAGAGCUUGAGAUAUUUAAUUAGAGCAUGUGCAUGGUGCAUGCAUGGAUAGAUAUUUAAUGUGAAGUUAUCAGUACAACUCAACUCAUUUCUGCUCGCAUCUACGCUGAGAAGAAGAUGAGGUUAAGAACCGUCUCAUAAAUAAAAGAUGGAUAUGUACAUAUAUAUAUAUAUAUAUCUCAUUGAAGAAAAUGAAAGGAUAAAGAUGGCAUUAGAUGUCAUUCUCCACACAACGAGUGUAUGGUUCGUGCAUGAGGGCUCAGAAAACCUUCAAUAGUUUGGAUACAUUUAGAUGAAAAGGCCAAACAAAAGAUUAUACUUAAAAUUUUCACAAAUCAGACUGGAGCCUCUAUUUACAAAGAAAGACCACUCUAAAUGCUCGAUCUUGUCAGCAUUUAAUUAUUUUACGAGUUUAUAUGAAUCCAAAAUCCCGGUUUCUCUUAGUCAUAUAUGAGAAAAAUUAGUCAAAAUUUAAGUUAUGAUUUUUAUAUCUUUCACGUGUUGUCAUCUCUUUGAUCCGGACCCCGAGCAACACAAAAAUAUUCUUUCAUGUAUUUUUACUAUAUUUUCUGAACACACGAUGUGGUAAGAAGUUAUAUGUUUUAACACUUACAGUUACAAUAUUAUUCCAACUUUUAGUUAUGCUUUUUUACCAUCUGUAUGAAGGUAUAAAAAAAAAAAAAAAAGUGAAUAGUUAAGAGUUAUAAGAGAUUAUUAGUCCCGGUCAUUCUUAUUUCUCAGAACUCAUGGCCAAAUAUUAUUGCGAUUGAUAAUUGAGAAUAAACCAAGAGACAGAAAGGUAGAGAAGAGUCCAUUUCCUCGGUUGGAUUUUGAAAUUGAUUUGUGAUGCUGCAAGCUUGUUUUCGUGGCUAAAAAAGAAAGUAGAAUGCUAACGAUGGACAUUAGAAAAAUAUCUAUAACUCUAGUAGGUUCCCCUAAUUUAUGGGAAAAAAAAAAAAGAAAAUGAUUUCUUGCUUUGGUUGAGAUGCCGCAAACUUGGACUGAAUUUCCUUAUUUUAGAUUUAAAAAUUGUCCACAAGUCGAGCAAGUCCAAAGAUAGGAGAUAAAGAGAUGGGUUUUCAUAUAUUUUUCCAUCUAUACGAAUUAUAUUCACAAGACCCUCAAUAAAACAACCAAUCAAAAAUAUUCUGAUUCGUCUUUUGCUAGUUCUAAAAGUUGUUACACACUUCGCUAGAUAGGCCAGCACGAUAAUAGUUUACUUGGGUCAAAUUCGGUGUGCCCAAAUUUUCCGAGUUGGGAUCCUGUAAACACUUGACUUUACGCAAGUGCCUAGCCCUUUGUUUCUACCAUUGCAAUGCUACUCGUUCAAAGUGGGAUGACGCCAGUUGCAGCUGUUGUUGCCUCCCAUAAACCUUUUACAAAAAUUUAUUUUCAUCAUCUACUAAACAAAGUGGAAAAAGGAGAGGGAAAAAAAAAAAAAAAAGGUAAAUGAAGAAGGUACAUAAUAGUGGGCCUCAAUGCGAACAUAAGAUGAAGGAAAGUUCAGAUCAUAUAGGAAAGGCAAACACGUCGUUUUAAAUUAGUAGCAAUAAAUUAUAAAAGCUGUAGUGGAUACUAAAAUAAUAGGACCUCCGUGUGAUUCGUAAAUAAACCAAAUUGUUGUACCAGCAAAAUGAAUUCCCGUUUGUGAUUAAGUAAUAUACUCAUUUACCAUUGAGUUUUUGGUUCAGUAAAAGAAUCCUUGCACUUAUAAUAGUGAGAGCAAAAAUUUGAGUUUCCAUAAAAAUUUUAUAAAGUUUAAUUUCAACUAUCUCUCAAUUAUUGAAUAAUUGAGUAAAAAUAAUCUAUUCUUUACGAAAUAUGAAUGGAAUAAACACCUCUCAAAUAUUAAAGAGAGUAUAAAAAAUUUAAAUAGUGGACAAUGAUUCAAAAAAUUGAUAUAUACGACAUGAGAAAGUUUCAAUUGUAUAAUUUAAUUGUAAAUAUUAAUUAUAAUAUAUGAUAAAAUAUUAAUAAUAAUCUUCUGUAUAACCGAAUUUUUUUAUUUAAAAAAAAAAAAAAGUAUUGUAGGUGAUUAAUCUUAAAGGUUGCGCAGUUUCUGCCGAACAGCCACGCGCCAUGAGCCACCUGUGAUUUGUGAAAAGAUAAAGCCAACGGGGCUUACAAGGUAUGUAAACAAGCAAACAGACCACACAUUCAUUCAAGCAUGAAGACCAAUAUGAGUUAGAAGGCUACUUAAUCUUUUAUUAUGGUGACACUACAGACAGAGAUCAGUUUUUCAUCCUCAUUAACCAUAUUUUGAACUAACAUUACAUCCUGAGGUAUCUGAUACAGCGAAAUUGGUACAAAGUAAUGAUGAUGGAUACUAGAAAUUUGCAAUGACAAUGGCGUGAGUGUGAAGCAUUGAAGAAAGGAGUUGAUAGCUCAUGCAGCAGCGCUAAUGCACUCAAUAGCCUGUUUGCAUAUGCCAGUCAUUGUUGCUUCGGGCCCAUAAACCUAUAAGAAGAGAGGUUAUUUUCAUUUUUCAAUCACAGGUAGAGAGGAUAUGUUCUGAAAAUUUUAGGUCAAAUAUACCUCAAUGGGAAGGCCAAUUUCCUCUGCCAGUGCUCGCAUUUUUGCAAGGCCCCUCUGGUAAUUAGGACCUCCUCUCCUCACAUAUAGGUGCAUUCUUGCUGCUUUCAGCUUCGAUUCCUGAGCAAUAAAAAUUUCGUCAUGAAUUUUCCACGUCAAAAAUGAAAGCGAUGAAGUAAUUAAGCCCAGCAAUCUACCUUUUCCUUCAGGGCUUGGAUUAUGCCAUUGAAUGUAGCUGCAACAUCAGUGAAGUUAGCUAUUCCUCCUCCAAUCACAAGGGCUCUCUUGCGACCAUCAGGAUCUGCAGUUGCACACUGCAAAACAAUUAUGUGUUUAGUUGCACAGCAAAGAAGGUGUCUGAUUAAACAUCUUAAAAUAUGUUCCAAAUGUUCAUUUAACAUUUGGCAGCCUUUUAUUUCCUUCCUAUUUAAGCAUUCACUAAGUAUGCAAGAGUUAGCAUUAGUCGGUCACAAGUAAUAAAAUGAAGUGCCACCUGUAGAGUACUAUAUAUCACUACAAGACCAAAACCAAGAGGAGAUGUCCAUACAUCAAUUACAACUCUGGCAUAUUGCAAGACCUCCCCCUCGUUGGGUGCUCCACUGUAUUCUGCAUAGUUACCGAGCUCUGAGGCAUAGCCAAGAUCUCCAACCUGAUUCGGCAAUAAUCAUUCAUAAACAAAUUAAAAGCUAUUGGGAUGAGAAAACACUCAUUGUUAACAGAAAAUUUAAUCCUCUCCCCUGAGUAGAAUGAGAACCCAUACCGUAUCAGCAUAGAUGACACUUGCACCUCCUCCAGCUACCAUAGUCCAGAUUCGUCCUUUUGGGUUCAAAACUGUGAAUUUCAAAGAUGCACUUGUCUGCAAGCAAAAUAUAGAAAAUGUUAUAAACUUUAUGUAAGGUUCACAGGAUGAAGCUAUUAAAAGAAAAAAAAUUGCAGUUUAUAGAGUUGUUAUAAAGGAACACACAAGCAGAUCAGCAAGGAUUAUUCAAUGAUGAAAAUUCAGACAAUAGAAACUAGAACCACAGACAAGCAGAUAUUUGGACGAAAUCUAUACAGUUAACAUAAUUCUCAACACUCAAUUAUGGAUUCAGGUUGACUUGGAUAAGUUAAGAAUGUUAAUUUAUCACAAAGAAACGAGAAAACUUAAUAUAUAUGACUCAAAAUUUUCCUUGAAACAAGGUGAUCAAAAGAGAGAGCAGAUUUCAUGUAGAGGUCAGGCAUAUAUCAAGCUGUGGUACCUUUUCAUCUAGAUCAUGUAUAAAGCUUUCUGUAGCACUCAUUGCUCUUCCAAACGGCAAGGGAAAUUCAAUAUUGCCCCACCUGCCAAAAGCAAAGUGUCAUUAGAGGAUACCAAAUGUGACAAGGUGCAUGUUAAAUACACUAGUUAGUACCAAGCAUUUUAUGUGGGAAAUACUCAUGGAAAAGAAUCUACUUUUUGAAGUUCUUGAAAGCAGCAGUGUCAUCCAGCUCUCCUCUCAUAUCCAAUGGAUAAGGCUUUCUAUCAACCAAUGUAAAAGGAUUCAUCUCAAGGAAAGUGAAGUCAAGAUCUAGCAAAUACAAACUUGGGAAGUUAAUGGCCAAUUCUAGCAAUGAAUAUAUUUAUCAUUGCAGAUUCUGAAUACCAUGAACUAGUCAAACAUCUAUAAAGUACCUUGAAAAAGAGUGAAAACUGAUUUAAUGAACUCCUGAAUUUCUCCUCUGAUCUGGUUACACAAGCAUAAUUCAUGUUACUUAUUUCAAAAUAUAUCCUAAAAUCAUUGAGUGUCAACAAAGAGUAAACAACCUUUCGGUGGUAAUGAGUUAAGUGAUUGAAAAGUAUGUAUGAUAUAUUACAUUGAUGGUGCACUAAGCUACAUCAGGAAUAGAUUUUCUUUUUAUUUUGGGUUUAUAAAUAUUGGAGAGAAAGGGACUUAUAGACAAAGGGGAUCUUCUUUUGGACAAAUAAUAUUUUGAAAUCAUAAUGGGUAUCCCAUAUAAUACUUAUUCCUUUAAUACUUGCUUCUGUUUUGGCUAAAUAUCUAAGGAAACUCAUUAUACGUAAUUGUUUGUCUAAUGCUAUUUGGGGGAAGAGCGUGGGAAUAAAGCAGCAUUGAGAACUUAAAGUUCAGGAAAGGAUAACCAACUAGAUCAAUUACCUCCAAGGGAAGAGUAGCAACAAGCGGAGCCGAGGUUUCAGAAGCAAGGCAUGCACCUGUUGGGACAAAGAUAGUCUUAACCUGGACAAAAGAUAACACCAUUCUAAUAUUAUGAUUCUGCAGGGUAAUUAAUGCAGGAGAUAAAAGACAAAACAUAAUAUGGCUAACAGAAAAAAAAAAAAAGGUUACAUUCCUAAAUACCUUAUCCCAGUUCUCCUCAAUUUCAAUUCCUCCGCAUUCUGAAAAGCUUACGCUGCAUCCAAGUCGCUCUGAGACAAUAUUAAGGUAAAACUCCUCAUUGUGCGGGAUGAAAGGUUCAAUGAUGAAUGUUGUUAUGGGUCCUUUACAUUCACUCAUCUCCAUCUGCAAAACAAGAUAGUAAAGUGUAAGCUCAAUGCUUUAGUGUCAUGUACAGCUAACAAAACAAACGAAAAAGUCUUAGCUGAAACGGAAAAACAUUAUGAAAACUAUGAUUCCAGCAGAAAUAUACCUCUUUCCCAAGGCACUCUUUCACAAAAGUAGCAGCUUGAGCUAAAUCCAGAUUUAAAGCAACCAAACCACUCUUCCCACGCUUUCCAAACAACAUGUCGGGUUUCACAACUAGUUUACAUGAUGUAAGCCAGGGUUCCUUUUGUGCCAGCUCAUCGAAAUUAGUUGACUCGGUAACCUAAAGGACAAAAACACACCGUCGAAACUCAAUAUAUAAAACAACAUAACCACAACUGCCACGACACAAAUCACCAAUCCAAGAUUUUACUAAUUCUUUUAAAUAGACCUAAAUCAUAAAAGACCAAUAUGUAGAGAUGCUUCUAAUCCAAAUGGAUCUAGCUUCAUAUAACAGAUUUUUAUAAAUCUCUACGUGAAACUGAAUCAUGCAGGCAAAUAAAGUAACAGCUAAAGUUAAAAUCUAAAUCAUGGAUAUAGACACAAUAUCCUCAAAAAUUUUAAGAACUCAACAAAAUUCGAAACUUACAAGUAACACAUUACAACGAGUACACAACAGAGGCUCAAAAUAAAUAAAAAAACAUCCGAAAGUCGAAAAGCCAUUAAACUGCGCUCACUUGUGCGGAUUUGAUAGGCAACUCGCGACCAGAGAGCCUCUGGAAGUGCUCCUUCAACAAUCUCUUCGAAUCAUACUCUCUGAUCUUCUUGCGUGCCAUUUCUCAGGCCUGAUUUUCACCAAAACGACAAGUCUGACAGAUCCACAUUGCAAGAUCAAAUUCAAAUAAAUUUCAGAGCAUAUCAGAUAUCAAAUUAACUAAACGAAAAUACCUUUCGAAAAUAGGCAAAAACGACAGCGCAACAGAUAUAUUUUUCUGAGCAGGUAGGAAGCGGAGAACACAACGCUUGAAGCUUGAAUGUUGAUUUGGUGUUAGAAGCGAAUUUGUUCGAGUAUUUAUAUCAACGAGAACUUUUUUUUUUUUAAUAAAUUUUUAAAAGAAAUCCGAAAAAUGAGUCGGAUGUGAGUGGUAGUUUGUGCACUUUAGCGGGAACGAAUUAGCGAACUACCUACACGCUGAACGACACGUGCUGUACGGGCACCCUUCUACCUGUUCAUAAAAAUCGUGUAUAUUGUGGAUCUGAUCAAGUGUAACGCCGAGUAAACAACAAUUUUUGUACAGUUGCAGUAUGUAUGGAUCACCGUUGAUUUAUUCUACUUUUUGACUGAUGUGGAGUCGAGGGUUUUUAAAACGCUACCGUCCAAAUGUGGGAACUUGUUACUUGUUAGGUAACAAAUUGGUUGUGCUGGUUUGAGUCUCAUUGCUUUUAUUCGAAGCAGAUUACAAGGAGCGGCAUCUGGCCUUGUACUAUGGAUGCAGCCUGUCUUUGUCGCAUGUGUCGCGUGUUUUUAUUUUCACAACUGUUGAAUUUUUAUUAAAUAACGUUAUAAAAAUUAUGUAUUUUAUAUUAUUAUGUAAAGUAACUAAAGUUUUGUUUUAAUUAUUUAAUUUCUGUGUACGGAAAGCACAGGUUUCCGUUGGUAACGGACCUCUCUUCACGGUAUAUAUAUAUUUAAAGUUUUGAAUUUUAAAAAUUUAACUAUAGAUCAAUAGCAAACAAAAGAUUUGUUGCUAAUGAUAUUAAUAUUAUUAUGUAGAACUCAUGAAAAAUAUUUUAACAAUAUUAAAUCUGAUGUCAACAAAUGUAAAAAAAAAUUUAACCAAAGCAAUGAUAGUCGGUAGUACAUUUUGCCGACGGCAAUAAUCAAUUACAGGUGAUAGUUAAAUGUCACUAAUAAACUUAUUAAAUUAAAGCUAUUAAAAUACAUUAAAUAAAUAAUUUAAAAUUUUAAAAAAGGAAAAAAUACAAAUUAGGUGAGACCCAAGCGAGCGUGGAUCUCAUUUUAGUGCAUAUAAAAUAAUGCAGGCCCUUGUGUUCACUAAAUAUAGUGCAAUCAAGUUUGUACAUAAUCAAUAAGCGCAUAGAUUAGUUGAUAUAUGGCUGUUUUAACUUAACUAAGAUCUUCAAUUCGAGUCUUGAAAAUAUAGCUGAAUUAAAUAGUUAUUGGAAGAGUUUUGCCAUCCUGAUGGUACAGAAUGCCAAACACACCCUUUAUUUAUGACAUUGACUUAGAUAAUUGGGUUUUAGCAUUAAAGAUUGACAACUAAGAAUAAUUUGUAUGAAGAUUUGCUCCCUUUAUAUUAUUAUGCUAUUUGUUUUGUUCAAGUAAUACUCUCUUGUUCCCAAUGUUGAGGAAUUGAGAUUUCUUUAAAUGACAAAUGGGUCGAUGAUAUUUUAAUAAAUUGUGGAAUUAUUAUGUAUUUCAGCUGUCAUAGUAUCUCAUAUAUCAUUCAUUUAUUAGGUUGUAAAAAUAAUAUAUUAAUAAAUAACAAUAAAAUAGGUUAUUUCCAUGCACGUGACAACAAAAUAAUUGCGAUAAUAAUUAACAAAAAUGAUUUUAGCAACAUAUUUGUUUCUUCAACUGGCUUAUUAAAUAUAUUGUUAAAAUAUACAUUUUAUGUUUUAACAAAUAUAUUAACUAAUUUUAAUUUUAUAGAGGCAUUUAAUAAUGUAUUUUUUAUUUUUUUUUUGGUUAGUAGUUUAGUAUUACGGAUGAAAUUUGUCAUUAUUGAUCCAAGUGACAAAAAAAAAAUUCAGCAAGGGAUGAAAGUGUGAUGCUCCCAAUUGGUUUUAUUGUAUUGCUGACAAAGUGAGACUUAAAAGGAUUAUUUUCGUUUAAUUUAAUGCAGACGAUUUCUGAAUGUUGACGUCCAGUACAAGGUAGAUAAAUCAUGACUAAAGUAGUGGAUUUUCCAAUAUUGGUAUCCAUUUGUUUUUGAGAGAGGUGCUGCACAACGCACACCUGCAGGCUGCAACAACACAACGUGAAUCAAAAUGUUGUGGCCACAUCUCCACUGAAACGAAAAGAUUUAAAGUUUGGCACAUACAAUAUAUUUUCUCAAGAAGUUUGGCCCACGAUUAUUUGUAUUAUUUUUCUCGGUCAAUAAAUGAUCACGAUAAUAUAAUUUAAAAUAGUAAUGUUUCAUCAACGAAAUAGAAAACAAACUUUAUACCUCACCUUCGCAAGUUUACUAUUAUUUGUGAAAUAAAUGAGACGACAAUGUAUUAUAUGUGGAGAUAAAUGAGACGAUGAUUUAUUUUAGCUCAACCCAAAAAAAAUGAAAAAAAAAAAAAAGAGGCAGCUCAUGGUUAAAAGGGGAACUUGAUUUUGGUGGUUCACUAUAAGGUUACCAACUCAACUACAGAGUAUACACUCGAAGUUUUCAGAUAAAGUAGGGUCUAAUAAUAAUAAUGAACGAAUAUUCAAAUUUGAAGAAAACGGAUGGGAAUAUGCUUGAGGAUGGUAUAAUCUCUCCCUUUCGAUUUGAGAGCCAUAGAGCAAGAGUAUUUUUAAAAUUAAAGGAGGUGCGAAAGAGAUGGCAGAAAAGCCCAUCCGGACUAGAUUCGGACCGAACCCAGCGCAUGCGGUCCAGGUAAAACUCGGACCGAAUGCAUGAAAAAAGCGGAUCCGAGCAUUGAAAAGCUGUUUCCGGGCACGGGUCCGGUCACAGCACCAAGAACCCGGAACUCAGACUCGUGCCCUUUUUUUUAUUAAGUAAAAAAAAAAGAGGAAAAUAUAAAAACGAAAAUUGAAUUUUCCUUUGCCCAAUUUCCCCCAAACCCAACCGGCCAACCCUAAAUCGAAAAUUCGCGACAAGUCUCAGAAUCGGCACCUCCUCAGUCCUCCCUCCGUCUCUCCACCAACGGCCACCACCCAUCUUCACCGAUGGCGAUGCAGUAUUGACAGUUGACCGCGCCUCUCCCUCCAUGAACCGCAAAGCACAGUCGUCAGCCCGUCAAAGAGCUCUUCACUGUUUGGUCAGCUUCUCAGCGGCAGCCACCACGCGACGACGUCCGCCACCGUAGUUGGUCUCACACUCUCACUCCAUUGUUUUGUCACCAUAUCAGCUACAAGCCUGCAACCCUGCCAUCACAGCCACGACCCACGAGGUAAUUUUUUUUUUUUUGGCUGCUCAUCUUUUGUAGAAACAACUAAAAGACCUGCACAACAAUUUGUAUAGCAAUGUCUAACAUACGAUCCAAAUAUUAUGCAAAGAACAAAAAAUUAACAUUUUGAACCACUAACAUCCUAGGCAAAAAAACAAAAUAGAUCAGAACUGUUGAGCAUAAUACUAGAAUAUGAAAAAGCAGAGAGAGAACUUCACAACAAAUUUCAAAUGCUCACAAGCAACAGGAUGGUCAAAAGCUUCAUGCUUUGAAUUCAUCAUCACUCAAAUCUGGGUAGAAAAAACCCGAAAAAAAACCCGUGCUUGGAUAGUGCCAGGCAUGUGCCCGGCCCGCAUAGAAAAAUUUAAGGCAUGGUGCGGGUCCGAGUAGCUACGUGUGACAUCCGGGUCGGUCCCGGGUAGCCCCAAACCCGAACCCGACCCGGACUUUUGCCAUCUCUGCGAUCAUCAAAAGAGUUUAAAAUGGCCUAAAUUUGUGUAAUAUUUUUUAAUGAGUUAAAAUCUAUAUAUUUACAAUAUAAGAUCUAUUAAGAAUUUAAAUUUAAAAUAUAUAUCAUCUAAUAGGUGUGUAUUAUUUAUAUAUAUAUAUAAAAAUAUAACUAAUCUCACUAAUAUUAAAAAAAAAUACAUAUACCCUCGCGCCCCAAUCAACGGACGGGCGGGGGAUCCCUUUUAUUAUAUGGACUGUCAGAGUUCCUUCAUAACCCGAGCCACCUAAGUGAGGACAUUAUUAAGUUCGCCAUCCGGGGAAAGGCAAAAUUAACAGCCCAGGAGGAUCUGCGUCGUGAGCUAAUGGGCCACGCUUAAGGAUGUAAAGCCCAUAAUGUCUCAUAGCGGUCGCUUUUUCUCGCGUUCUCUGCAAGUUAUUACUGUGUGUGUUUGUUUACCUUGAGAGGGUAUUAUGGUCUCUGAAUAUAUAUGUCCUAUUUAGGUUACUUUUGAACAGUUCAGAGAGUUUGGGUUAUCGCUUCAAAUUAAGCCCCGUUUGUCUUCAGUUGGUUCAGGCAGACAAGUGCGUAGGAUUUUGAAUCUGCGAGUGUGACGGAGCGUUCCGUAUGUUAUCGUUCGUAAUGUGGAAGUUACCAGAAGGGAUGGAACAGUGGAAGAAGGAAUUAGAGGAGUGGUUGAAUCGUGGAAUUGAAUUUAUCAACCAAAUUCCCCCAACUCAGCUCUACAUCGCUUGCGCCGUUUUGCUCCUAACCACCGCUCUUCUCUUACUACGUGAGUCCCAUUAACACUACUCACUUUUAUUCUUCGUAAUCGCUUCGAUUUUUCAAAAUUAUGCUUCCGCUGAUCUUUAGGGAUUUAUAAUUUCAUUUGAAUUCUCAAACUGCGCUCACCUUGGAUCAAUUAUGAUUCUUUUGUUGCAUUCUCCGAUUAAGCAACGAAUUUUCCAAAACCAUCUUUUAUUUUAUUUUUGUGUAAUCAUUGCAUUAACUUUUUUUUUCCCUCCUUUGGGGUCACCUGUUUGUACAAUGGUUUUUUAAUAUUGUUUAUAAGAGGAGAAAUAAAAUGGAUAGUCUGGAAUAUCUUGGAUGUUAAUGUGCUCAAUGGCUUGUUUUACCUUGCAGUUCAAGUGUUCAGACGCAAGAAAUCUACUACCAUUGUACUUGCUGGCUUAAGCGGGAGUGGGAAAACUGUUCUGUUCUAUCAAGUAAGUGUAGUUGAUUAAUUUUUUCCUUUCAGCUACUAGUGGAAAAUCUGAUAAUGGAGCUAGGUGCAGGUGUUUGAAUUAUUCCUUAUUGCUUGUGUUUUUACAUGAAUGAGCUCCGAAGUGAGGUUUGGCAGUGUUUAAGAAAGCUAGCUUACAUUCUUUUUAUCAGAAUUUUCUUAUCUUGAUCUCUUAGUCUUUUAAGGUUUACACAUACAAAGGCAUGCAUUCUUGUUGUUUUUCUGUCUGAGGUGUCUUGUUACUAGUUAUUUGACCUCCGCUGGCAGAUAUUGCCUUAAACUAGGCAAUACUAUUUUCGAUAAAGUAAGAAUGGGAAAAUACCUACAGUAAAUACAUAUGUACAGUGAAAUUCCAAAGGAACUGAAAAGAAAGAUGCAAUUGAUGUAUAUGAAUGCCAAAUUUAACUUUCUUUUAUCUCUUUGCAUUUCUCUCUAAUAUUUCUUAUCUGAAAAAGUAUUUGUUUUCCGGCAUUGAUUGCUGUGGGAAAUUUAAUCUUUGUCGAUUAAGCUGGUGAUGUGGUAUUGAAUUUUCUGGUCCAUGUGUGAGACAUAGAUGUUGAGUUGGCUGUUGAAUCUUGAAUAGAGUACUGAGGCUUGAUUUAGGAAACUAUGGAUUUGACUGAAUUCCACAACGUGGCCCUUCUGUUAAGUCGCUUUGCAGCAUUCUUUUCAUAUGAGAGGUUAGGCGUCCCAACGUUUAGGUUCUAAGCAUGUAUGCAGCUUAGAUCCUUAUAUGCAUAUGAAUCAAGAUUUUGUUAAUUAACUGGAAAUUUUUCAACCUUCAGGGCAGAAUAUUUAGAAUAUUGAUCUGAGUGUAUGGUGUAGAUUACUAGAUCUUUUGUCUUCUCCAUGAUUCUUAUUAUCAACUUCUUUCUAGUUUGUAAUAAAACUGCUUAUCUGCCAGUGCAAUGAUUAUUCUCUAUUUCACAAUUAUAAAAUCGAUAUGGUUGCCCAUUUGUGACUGCCACCUGGUAUGUCUUACAGAUGUUAAUCUAACUAUCAUGACAUGUAUUUAUGUGUCAGCUUCGGGAUGGUUCGACCCACCAGGGUACUGUUACAUCAAUGGAACCAAAUGAGGACACUUUUGUGCUACAUUCUGAAAGCACUAAGGUGAUGUAUCUUAUUUGGUCUACUUUUAUAUAUACAGAAAUAAGGGCAUUAAAAAGUUCAUGGUGUAUGAAUUUCAUUAUUCUCAAAUUAUGCUUCAUCUUCUCUAACAAGAAUUGAGCGGCAAUUUUUAUAUCCUUGACAGAAGGGGAAAAUAAAGCCUGUUCACCUUGUUGAUGUUCCUGGUCAUUCUCGUCUCCGACCCAAACUAGAUGAGUUUUUGCCUCAAGCAGCUGGCAUAGUAUUCGUUGUGGAUGCCUUGGAAUUCCUACCAAACUGUUCUGCAGCUUCUGAGUAAUUACAAGGCCUUAUAAUGCAGCUUUAGGAUGUCAUACAUUCAAUAUACACUUUUACAGUACAACAUGCUGUCCGCAAAGAUACUAUUUUUUUUUAUGGUUUUUGUGCAACAGGUACCUGUAUGAUAUUUUAACAAACUCAACUGUUGUCAAAAAGAAAAUUCCAGUUCUCAUCUGUUGUAACAAGACAGACAAAGUCACGGCCCAUACCAAGGAGUUCAUUCGGAAGCAAAUGGAGAAGGAAAUGUAUGUCUUCCUAAGUAUAUCUCUUUCUGGGUGUUUGAUAUUUUGGUUAAUUACUUUCUUACCAAUUUCCUUUCAAGUGUUUGGUGGGAUCUAAAUUAAUUAGGAUGUAUACUUGCAUAUUUGCAGCUAACAACCUGCAUAAAAUAUUUUGUCCCUCAAAUUGACAUGUAUAUAUAAUUGAUCAUUAAAUGAAAUAUGUACUUGUGGCAUGUUGAGUAACUCUAUGCUAUUUGUUGUUGUGUCACAUAUGCUGAAAAAUGUGAUCACUGAAGCAUUUGAAUAAAUUUGGCAUCCUGAAUCUCUGAUUUAAUUGUUUUUAUUCAUUUCCUGUAACCAUUUUACAGCGACAAGUUGCGAGCAUCCAGAAGUGCAGUAUCAGAGGCUGAUAUGACAAAUGACUUUACUCUUGGGAUACCAGGACAGGCGUUCUCAUUCUCUCAGUGCCAUAACAAAGUUUCUGUGGCUGAAGCUUCUGGUUUGACUGGCGAAAUAUCUCAGGUGGAACAGUUUAUCAGGGAACAGGUGAAGCCCUAGGCGGUAGUUCCAAUUCAUGAUAUCUAUGAACUUUUUGCAUUAAAGCUGGCUUGAGUAUAGCCUCAUGAUUGUUGCAAACGGCAAAGGAAGCUGAGAAAUCCAAGGCAAGUGGAGGAAACAAAAAAAAAAAAAAAGAGUAGUGGAGUGCAUUCUAGUUCUAAUUAGUGUUUUGUUAGUGGAUUUUGCUUAAACAAUGAGAGUUAUAAAUGGACAUUGCCUGGGUAAUUCCAGUGAUUUGUGAUCGAUAUACUUUUGUAUCUGAUGAUUACGGCAAUUGCAAAAAAACUUCAUUCCUGGAAAACUAACUAGUUAACAAACAGAUUUUUGCUUUCUUUUCUUAUCUAAGCGCCUUUGUGAUUUUGAAAAUCUUGGGGUACGUGUCGAAGAAUAGUUUAUGGUUAAGAUUUGAUUACCAACGUCAUUACCUCAUAUUUAGUCAUUGAGCGGUUGAAACAAACUAUAACCUCUGAAAUAAUUCACAAGUACAUAUUUACCCAAACGAGAAUUAGAAACGAAAUGAAUACAGCUGCGAAGGAAGAUUUUGAACAUGCUUCAUUCAUCAAUGUUCUUGCAUGAAUUGAAUCAAUAAUACUGAUGCGAGAAUCAGUACUACACCUGCCCCUAAGAAUUACAAACUUUACAGCCAUCAUCAGCAAUCCAUCAAAUAUGGGAAGGGCUUGAUUUAUUUAUUUCUCUCAAAAGAAAUGGUUUGACUAGGAUCUCUCAUUUCAGACAUCGAUAAGCCUCUGGGAAUGAUCUUGACAACCAAAGGUGUUUCAGCCUAAUUAUUAGAGCAAAAAUGCCGUAGCACGGGAGAUGCAUCAGCCCUACACCAAAAUACCUGCCCAUCAUGGCAAAACAGUUGGAUAAACAUUAGUAUUUAGUAGAAUUUAUUUAUUCUUUUUUAUGCAUUCAUCCGAUCUUCAAUCAUUGAACCACUAACAGUCUCCUGUUUAACGAAUGUAGAGGUGCUGCCAUUCUUUUAAUCCUUUUCAUUAAAGAAUCAAUGUCAACUACAUAUCAACAUGGCAAAGCACCGAAAAUAACAUUUCCUUCUGGCAAGGAAAAUAAUAUGCAUCCUCGUUUUGCGCUGUUGUGAAAUAUAUGUCUUGAUCACUAUAGCAAAUGUUUUGCAAUAAAAAGGAACAUGCAUGGGUUAGUAACAAGUUGGGAUUUUUUUUUUCUUAAUCUUCCUUUUAUGAUGGAUGUUCCAGAGAUGAGAGAAGGCAUAUCAUAAAAAUCAUACCUAUGGUCAUAAAUCAAUAUAUAACGCUGUCAGUAGUGGUUAUUUACAUACCAUAAGGGAGCAAAUGGGGAUGACAAGUCAAGAAAUGCAUAAGGCCACCUGUAAAAAAGCGUGACCUUAGUACGAGCCCUUGAGUAAUUUUCUUUCAUGUAAAUAAGACAAUAACUUUAAGAAAUAUAUUACCAAAUUGAAACACAAGCAUGAACGAUCCACUGGAAAAUGACAAAGAUAACCGUCCACAAAAUAAAAUAGGCAAUUCGAAACAGAGGGAACCGCUGAAAGAGAAGGUUUCAUUAAUCAGAAAAAAUGCUUAGAAGAGAAUAGGAGAUCACAAGGCAAAAAUAAUCAACGUACCAAGCAAUUUAAAAUUGUGUCUCCAAGAAGGAAAACGGCAUUGACUGAAUGCAUAGAAACAAUCAGCUGCAGUUGGAAGGUUAGCACAGUUAUCAAAUGAAGGGGCUUUUAUGUGAGAGAAAAGCAAUUAAACUCAUCUUGUAUGAAUAGAGAGAAUGAAGGCUCUAAUGUAUGAAUAGACCUGCUAGGUUUUCUAUGCCCUUCUUUCAUAGCCAAAACCGAUUAAAUGGAAAAGGAAAAUGAAGUAAGAUGUCUCCUAAAUUGUACAACACACACAAUUAAACAACUCCUCUACAAUGGUUGUUCACUGGUUCAACAACUGGAGGAAAAUUAUAAGAUUGCAUAGAAAUAAUUAAACAUCUAAAGGAUACAUGCUAAUGGGAGUUCUAAAACAGACUAGUCACAUCAAAAACUGUCUCCAUGUUCAGUCACAAAUCUUCCUUGAAGGGAUUAUAUUCGAGGUUACUUCAUGCAUUUGCCCUGUGGUUGAAAUUUGAUAGCUACUGUCAGCUCAUUCCCCACACCAUCCCGUGACUCACAAUCUUCUUUCAAGUUAAACACAGGCUGACCUCAAAUGAUGGUAAAUCUUUAUAGUAACAAAAUUUGCACUAUUAGAAUGUCAAUUUCUAUUGAGGGAUUUGACUCCCUGUACAGUUGAAUAUGGAGGUCAACAGAGGGAAGUAAAUGAACACAUUGGACAAUAAGCUAGUAGUACUUACAAAAUUCAGACUGAAAUCUGCUGAUGUUAAAAAUGGAUAAAUAAUGAGCCAAAAUACGGAAUCGGUGAGCAUCACAGCUCCAGCACUCGUCUAUUCAUCAACACAAAAGAAAACAAAUGGAAACAAACUCUUGUAAGCACACAUAUGAAAUACUGAUAUAAAACCAAUAAAAACAUGCUCUUCCAGCAGAAGGGCAAUUUUGGCCAAUAAUGUGACCAGAAUUGUUUGGUAAAUAAUCAAAAACCAGACAGCACCAUAUUAAGGAUGCUUAAACAGUUAAUAUCACCCAAAUUAGCAAAUCCCCAACCUCUAACAACAAACAAAAUAACUCACUGAAAUGUUGGCUCCACCCACGAGCAUGUACUGGGUUGUAGGUUUGGACAGAGCACCCAUCACUUUACCAAUUAACUUGUUUAUCUUAAAUUUCAUUCAUGAGAGCCUCGUACAAGUUUCACCCUGAAAUAUUUCCUCGGUACUUGUUUCUUUUAUAACAAAUUAAGGCUAGAAAGGCUCAAAAAUACUAUUUAAUCAAGGAGCUGCUUUUCUAUGGAAUCAAAAUGAUUUUAUUAGAUUAUAUUUGCUGAUUUGGACACAAACCAAACUCCAGUAGAUUUUGACUAUAAAGCGCCUAAAAUUUGCAAGGAAAGUUCUUAUAACUUGUCUUUUGGCCUAUAAACCAAAGUGGACAAGUGCUUUACCUCCUUAUGAGCUAUUGCAUAUAAAGAUACCACAGCAAUUGUUCUUAAGGAAAAAACUUGCCUGAAAAACAAUCUGAAAGACAUAACCCAAUGCACCAGCAGUCCUACGAGCGUGAGGUUCUUCGUGGGUAUUGGAGCUUUUAGAUACAUCGGAUAUGUCUGCAGUUUCACUGAGUGAGGGAGGCACGUAGGUGCCUCGCUCUGCAUCUAAUUGACAAUGAUCACGCCCAUGGCAUAAUCCAUAGAUGGAAAGUGAAGAAGCAAGCUACAACACAAAAUCUGAGAGCAUUAGCAAUUUAUUCACAGUAACAUUCAUGUGAUUUGAAACAUAAGGUGCUGCCACUAAUCAGAAACCAAGUGAAGAUAUUGCACACUGACAGAUUGAUGAUUAUUAUGCUGGAAUUGAAAUAUUAUCUGUGGAACUGGAUACCAAUUAUUUAUACUAUCCUCGGACAGGCAGAUUUAGUGAAAACCAAAUCCAUUCAAAACUUCAUCACUAACAUAUUAUCACAGUGCACUGAUAGACAUGAAGCGAGACAUACCCCAAAACAGACUGUUACCAGAGUAAAUGUCCACCUGUUCAGCACAAGGGAAGUAAAAUAAUCAGAAACAUGCAUUCAGGUAAAAUAAAAUUUCUUCCUCUCUCUUCUCGUCAGUUCAGUGGGUACUCAAAAGACCUCUUGCAGUUCACAAAUCCAGUAAAAAUUAAAGCAGAUAAAGCAAAAUUAUGCUGACUACAAUAUUAACAAUAUAUGUUCAUGUUUCUGGCUCUUCAGAACACCCUCUUCAUAGGUAAAAUUCCUCAAAAGGGGUUUCUUGAAGUAUGCUUAGUGUGCAACAUAAAACUACAAAAAAAUAGAUGACUUACUGAGUAUAGAAGUAAAAUAUACCACCUCCAGAAAUAAGAGCAUUAGCAGUGAUCAAUGCAACAAGAACUACAAAAGCAAACACUCUAAAAGCAAGCAACCAAGCAGGAUGGAUUCCUUUGAGACAUGUGUUCCAAGCUUCAUCCUCAUACAAAGUCCCAACUGUUUCUUGCUGAUUUUCUCUCCUUGCAGAUUCUGAUUUCCUGGACCCUUCAAAUUUCCAUAUUAUAAUUGAUGCUGAAACCAUGGUGACUAAGAUCCAUAGAGCACAGAGGAAAAACCUCCAAUUCAACCAAUAACUUAAUGUGGUUGUAUCCGCAGUCAUAACUGGCUGCCAAGUACACGCUUCGAGGAUGCUGUUAAGAAACCCAAAAUAUUACUUUUACCAACUCCUACACUCAUUGUAUUUUCAGAUUUAUAUCCCUAAGUUCAAUGUUGAACUACAAUUGACACUUUAUACUAUUAUGCAGAUGAAUUUCCAGUAGUAAAGCUUUCCCCGACCGACCCCCCCCCCCCCCCCCCCCCCCCAAAAAAAAAGAAAGUGAAAAAAAUUAUCAUAGUGAACAAUAAGUAGAUGAAAUUGAUUGUAACAGAGAAAAAGGGACGAAAACAAUAAAAAAUAAAAAAUAAUUUUACAAACAAGAUACAAAUACUUGAUCAGAAGAAUAAAAACUGUGAACCAAAAAAAAAGAUUUAAUGGGCUAUGAACUAAAAUCCUUAGAAUAUUGAUUUAUUUUAUAAUUUGGAAAAAGAAUAUAAUAUUAAACUAGUUUAUUCAAAUCUUGUUCACAGUAAUAUAAUAUUGAACUAGUUCAUUCAAAACUUGUUCGCGGUAAAGAAAUGAAACCCCAUUGAAAAAACUUCAAUUCUAUGGAUACAUGUGUGUGUGUGUGUGUGUUUAUUCAAGCAGAACAGUUAAAAAGCAUGCAAAGAACAAGUACCAUAACAAAGAGGAGUAGUAUGGGAAUCUUGAUAUAUACAAAUGAAUUCAACUGAGAUGCUUACUUAGAUGGGUUUAAAACCCAAUAAAGCUACAAUCACAUUAAAUUGAGCAAAAGUGUCAAUUUGUAAGAAAAAGGAUAAGUGUAUUACUUACAGUUUUCUACGAGUGGUCAAGCCCAGAUGAACAGUUAUUCCUCCACGUUAUUAAAAGAAGAUGUUUUGCUUCUUCUUCCUCUCAGUAUGACUGCAUCCAACACAGAGAGACACAGAGAGAGAGAGAAGAGAGAGAGUAGAGAUGUAAGAGGGUAGCGUGUAGUCACAGUGACGUCUAUCUGGGGUAUUAUGGUCUUUGAAAGGCUCACCUAAUAAUAUUGAUUGGGUAAACAAGAUAAAGCAAACUUCAAUAGAAGAAAUAUAUGACCACCAUAAGAGAGGAGGAAAAAAAAGAAAAAGAAAAAAGAACACACUAUUUCCAUGCGUAUUUUUCUAAUUUUUAUUUAAUUUUUUAUUCCAUUUUUUAAUAAGCUAAGUUUCUAGAGCAGACCAGUUGCUUGCUGCCUUACGACUUUAGUUUGUCAAAGUGGGGACGACGACAACAUGAAAUGAUGAAAAUGAUUGACCGUCAUACUAUUACUAUUAACCACCCAACAAAAGAGGAGGAAGCAUGUCUGCCAAGAAGCAGAGUGAGAAAGAUUCUCGUUUCAUCUACGUAGUAGAUUCUCUCAAUUAAGCUCGUUUGCCACGAUGAUUCAAACCUUUACGGAAUAUGUACGAUAUGCUCGCAUAUUCGUUUUACCCAUACAUAGUAGAGAUAGAAAGAACAAAUCAACUAAGGACCUGACUAGCUUACAGAAUCUGUAAGCUACAGACUGCAGCAUCAGCCGUUGGAUGUGGUUAGAUGUGGAGUGAGAAACUAAACAAUAGAAGAUCGGAUGGUGGGAUGACGGGAGAUGUUUGUUACAGAAUCUGUACCAUAGACAGGUCCAUCAACUAAACAUUAUCGAUUAGCCAUGUGACAUUAAUAGAUUACAACUGUACAUCUUACGAGUAAAAUGCAGGCGCAAGAUUUACGUAGCUCCUGAUGAAACCCACAUCAACAUGCACUAGCCUUCUGGAACAAGAAGAAUGGGACCCACCCCGUGACAACAAUUUACAUUUCUUUGUACCCAUUUAUUUACUGGUACAAACAACAUCACGAGCCAAAAGGAGUGCAAAUGAUCUUUCUUUACUUUGAAUUUCAUUUCCGCUGGAGCCUCUCUGCUAUAUGAUCAACAGGUAAUGACCCUAAUGGGACAACAUCAGAUGAGUCACUAUCAUAAAAUUCAUCGUCAUCGUUGAAGUCAUCCUCAGGAUAAAAUUCAUCUUCGUCAUAAUUCUCACUUUGAGAACCAUCUUCGUACUCUGCCAUUGAACUACUGGCACCGUCUUCCCUUGACAAAACUAACGCUGGAUAGGAGUGCUCUGCGGCCUGUGAAAUACCCUCAAAUUCUUCAACCUUCUUCAAAAGAUCAUCAGGACCAAGAUUAAUCUCAUCCAGUACCAAUGCCUUGGUUGAUUCAAUUGCGUGCUUCCAGAGGGAUAUCAUUUUAGGACUUGAUCUAAUGGUUCCUUGGCUAGGGUCAUCACUAGGCGUCCCUAAAAAGCAUAAUGGAAAAUUGAUGAAAAACUAAUUGUAACAGAAUAUAGUUAAUUCUCAAUCAAGUAAAAAUAUAAUUCAGCAGCGAGCAGAAAUCGAGCAGAAAUGUCAUGUACAUCAGUCCUCUUAAACAAAAAAUAAAUAAAAAAAUAAAAAAUAAAGGAAGGGUAACUGACCACACUCGUUACUGGCAAUCCUAAAAUACAAUGAAAUAUCAUGACUAUCCAACCUUUUCUUAAGGAUAAGUAACUACAUUAAUCUAAUCCUCCAAUUUGUAAUUUAGACCCGCAAAAGAUACAAACACGAGAGAUUGCAGAUGAUUAGCUUGCUGGUUUAAUAAAUAGUCAUAGUUGAUAUAAUGUAGCUCUAGGGUAUGAAAUUUCCAGGAAUGCUGCAACAUUUGAUAUGGGAUGUUUUUAACUUUCCAACCAGCAGUUUCCCAGUUUCCCUUUCAUGAAUUCCAAUGCUUAGCAGAAGCUUCCAUCUUGUUUGAAAUUUGCCUCAAUUGGUCAGACAAAUCCAUUUUUCCAUAUGAAAUCUACCAACACAGUUUAUGCCACUAAGAAGGUUGGGCUCCGCACAAGAUGUACACUAUCUACAUGCAACUUACAGUCUUUCCGUUCAGCAAUAAAACCUCCAACAUGACACUUGGGAAUUACAUUAACCGCUAAAAGACUUAUAGGUGUGUGACUUAUAAUGGCAAAAAUCAAGUGUCUUCCCAUUUGAGUCAUGGGAAGACUAAUGGUUAUUCAAAUGAAGUUUUUAUAGAAAUUUCAUUUAUCUUUGAGAGACAAUUCCAAUCUUCAAACUCUUAAAUGCGUACCUGAACCAUCUGCAUCUCCAGCAAUGUCAAGGUCAACAGGAUUUGAAAAUGAAGGAGGUUCUGGAUACAUUGAUUUCCAAUCUUUUCCUCUCCACAUCAAUAUCUGUUCAUCGUCAAAAGAUAAUAGCACGCAGGGAACCAAUUCCUGACCAAAAAUGAAGAGGAAAGGAUUGGAGAAACAGAACAUGAUACCCAAACUACUUAGGAAAGUGUGAAAAAUUCAAAAUUUAAAGCAACUCCAAACAAAUUUGAUAGUUAUUCGACCCCUGUUUGAGUAGCUGCAGAUAUUUGCCAUUCCUUUUAGUGCCAUUUAAUAUUUCUUUUUAAAUUUCACGGGUGAAGAUCUGUCAUAAAAUGAGACAUAAACCACGGCACAGGUACAGUGCAGGAACAUAGAUAAACAGAAAUUGUACACAGACCUUAAGCUUAGCACCCAACUUCUUGUAAUCACUUGCAUGCAUCCCUUUGCAGUUAACCUUAACCAAUGAACUUCCUUCAAAAGCAUUCCUAACAUCUCUCACCAGGGUAAGGUACACUCCAUUUUUUGCUGCAAUGUGCAAAAAGAAAAUCAUUACUUAAACUCACAAGUGUAAGAAAUUUUAUGAUGAAAAAAAAAUGAUGCACAUAAAAUUCCUUCGGAAAGCACAUGCAUGAGUAAUAUCAAACUAAAGAACAAGCUGAAUUCAUGGCACAGGCAAGCAAAUCCAUCAACAUGAAAUAAAUUUAGGAAUUGACGUAAUACAUAAAAGGAGUAUGUACGUCAGAUGUUACAAAUAAAUUCACAAGCUGUGUGCCCAGUAAAAAUAGAAAUGGAAAGCUAACUGUCAAGAGUGAACAAUCAAUCAAUUCAAAACAUCUCAUGCAGAGCACGAUUUUAAAUGCAAAAUUUACAACUUGGGAAUAAUUCACACCAGAGGCGACUUAAUUCUAACUUCUAGUACAAGUGAAUAUACAAGGGAAGAAGAUUAUAUGGAACAAUAUAUGGAUUAUCAAUGAUAUCAUGCUCUUAAACCACAAAAUAAUACGGGUAUUUUAAGACAUCCAAGUGCUUCCAAGAAUUCAACUUCUAUACUGCUAAGAACAAAGAUAAUGAAAGAAGGUGUGUGAUUAAAUGAGGAUACACAACCCUUGCAACAAUUAGAUCACUUGUAGGAAUUAAAUGUGGAUGGCUCACCUAAUUUACAAAUAGGCAGUAGGGAUUUCCCUUUCCUCCGCAACUCAUCGGCUUCAUGUUUUGUCAAUCCUUCAGGGGCUUCUUGGAUAAGCUUUGGGUAAACAGGAGCAGCUGGUUUCCAGAGCAUCAGUGGGUAUUGAGGACGAGUGCGAUAGUUAUAGUUCCUGCCCCGGAAAAGAUAAACUAGACCACCAACUCGAAAAAUGAUCUUCCCCCCUGUUUUUUCCUAACAUUAAAAUAUAAACUUGAGAGCAGAUAGCAUAAGAGCUUAUCUCAUAAAUAAUUACUAAAAUUGAGAGCAUAGCAUACCAUACAUUAAGCAAACUAGCAAAUAAUCAAUAUAUACUACCUCAAGACGGCGGCAAACAUUAUCCAUAUCGACAGUAGGAACACCUUUGCAUUUAAUUUUGAUGACACGACGCCGCUUCCAAUGGGAGUGUAUCAGCUCCAGCAUAUUAUGCGUCAAUCCGUCUCUUCCAAGGUUAACUUGACGAUUAUCCUUCAAAAGAGGCUUAACAAGCAUGCUAAUUUCCCACCUCUUCAAUGGCUCGCCGAGAAUAUCCUCUCUCGUCUUCCCUUCUUGUGGAUACUUCCCGAGAGGAAACGGCCCCGGCAUUUCCACGUGUUUCACGCCCUUUUUGCCGGGCAGCGGCGGGUUAAACGAGUCAAAGAGCGGGAUUUUUUUCUUAGACUUCUUCAACGGUUGUUUUCCGGUCCAAGGCCGCGGCAUCGUGGGUGGACCGAAAGGCAAGAAAGCCGGUUCGCGGAUUGCCAAGGGUUUAGCUUGUGGAGUCUCUGUGUAACUGUAUUGGAACUCGAAUGGAGCCCCCGGUAGCCGAUAGGAUACGCCGGACUCACCGAUGGUAACACCGCGGUCGCCAUCUGAUGCGAUGACUCCCCGAUUGACGGGCUUGUAGUAGCGUGUAUGACGGUGAGGGAGCUUGAAGGCCGGAUUGGGUCUAGAUUUGGGUUUUUGUUCUUUUGGGGGAUAUUUAGGAACGGGGAUGGGUGGUGACGUGGAGGGUGGCGGCAACCUGGGGUCCCUUGGAGGUGGAGUUGACGGAAGGGAUGCGAAGAGGUUACCGUCUGGUAGCGAAGCUAGAAUCCGCAUUUGAAGUUCAGUUUCAGUGUCCAACUCAGGAUGAGAGCGGCGCUAGCCAAUUCAGUUUUCUGGUUUUUCUGUUGAUAUUUUGAGUUUCGCGUAAACGACACCGUUGACAAUUCAACAUAAUUUCUACAAUCUCGAAGUGAAAAUCACAAGUAUCGGGCCUGCAGAGCCCGGGUUAUGUUUUGGACUGGUCCACAAAAAUCCCCACCGAAUGGGUUGGGCUCAGUUGCGCACGAAAACACGACGGUGUUUUCUUAGAUCAUCCACGUGUCAGUAUCUCCAUCAAUUUAGCACUUUCCGCACCUAUCAUCCAACGGUCCUCAUGCCGGCACGAACAAUAUUAACGUACAUGUAUCCCCACAGCAGACCACUUCUCCAAAAUCUAAAACCCUAAUGAAACACUAUAUAAGCCCCUCUACGCAGCAAAAGUUUCUCAUCCUUUCAUUUCACUGAAAUUUGCUGGGUCUCUCCUCAUCUGCAGCCAUGCAGAUCUUCGUGAAAACCCUAACGGGAAAGACCAUAACCCUAGAGGUCGAAUCAUCGGACACCAUCGACAAUGUCAAGGCCAAGAUCCAGGACAAGGAGGGGAUUCCACCGGACCAGCAGCGUCUCAUCUUCGCCGGAAAGCAGCUCGAGGACGGCAGAACCCUAGCCGACUACAACAUCCAAAAGGAGUCAACACUCCACCUCGUCCUCCGUCUCCGUGGUGGCGCGAAGAAGCGUAAGAAGAAGACCUACACCAAGCCGAAAAAGAUCAAGCACAAGAAGAAGAAGGUCAAGCUCGCCGUCUUGCAGUUUUACAAGGUCGAUGAUUCUGGAAAGGUCCAGAGGCUGAGGAAGGAGUGUCCGAAUGCUGAGUGUGGAGCCGGCACCUUCAUGGCUAACCACUUUGACAGGCACUACUGCGGCAAGUGUGGACUCACCUAUGUUUACCAGAAGGCUGGCGGUGAUUGAUCGAGAUUAGGUGGUUGUUUUGCUAUUUUUAAUUAGUAUUAAUUACUAUGGUUUUUGUGGUUAAAAAAUUAUGACUCUUUCGUAAUUUUGUUUGACUAUAUACUUGUUUGCUUGAGCGUUUUAAUUAAAUGGUUAUCUGUUUUAAAUUUUAAUUUAUGAAUCUUUUAUGAUUUCUGCUUGUUUUGUUUGUUAUAUAAUUGAUGUUAUUGAUUCUUGAUUGGAUGCAUUGAUCUAUUCUGUUAAUUUGAUGGAAUAUUGUCUAGGAUUUGAGUAUUGUGGGGGAAUAAUUUAGUGGUAAUUGAUUUUCGUGUAGGAGUGCUAUUCUACAUACGAACAAUUAAGUUGGAAUUAAAGGACUAAUGCUGGAAGUUAUUAAGAACUUUGUGGGUGGGUCAGAAGUUUUACACAAGAGUACUUAGAAUCUGUUUUGAAUUUAGUUGGAUAUGUAAAUUAUUUUGGGAGUUUGAAUUGAUUAUGUACAUUUUUUUUCUCUGAAAACUGGUUGAGAGAAAUGUUGAAAGGUAAUUAUGACUGUUUGAGGAAAGAGUUAUUGGAAAUGUCUUUAGUUUUCCCCUUUUUUCUCUGGAGAUGGUUUAGCUAGAUGCAGCUAUAUGUUCUUUUCUGGAAAUGUUUUAUGCUCUUAUUUAUGUUAAUUAUUGAUGAUAUUGCUUUUCCCCCCUAUAAAAGAAUUUUACAUUCUCUCACAUCUAAUGGAUGAAUGAUAAUCAUUCUUAUGUUUUAUGCUUUUAUUGGCUGCUGCAUACUCAUCUUUGGGAAAUGUCUGAGCUAUCAAUGAGUAGCUUCAUUCCUUAGAAUAGGGUUCUGUAGCAGGCAGCCCAGCGGCUGGCAGCUUUCCCAAUCAUGUUUUUUAAUGUAUGACCCAAACUGAUCUUUAUUAUGGAGCUUCUGCUUGCCUCACUAGAGUUAGAGCUGGCUGUCAUUUGCAAUUUGAGAAUUCAUAAUAGACUGCUUAAUUAGGAGUAUUGAUAUACCAUGUUGCUUAAUAUCCUGGUGAGUUGUUUCAGUCCAGGACAAAUUUGGGAAGCAUAAUUUGGACAUAUAUAAAUUUUAAAUGUUUUGAUAUAUUUUGAUUAGUAUGUUGCAGAGAUACAAUUUCUCAAUAUAUGUAUGAGUAGUGGGUUGAGAUAAUGAAAAUGAAAGAUCAUGUAUGAUUGCUUUCCUAGUGUUGGAUUUGGCCUAGUUGCAGUGUUCAUAGUUUGAGAUCUACAUGGAUUUUAGGUAUUCUUUGAGUUGCUCUUAAGUGUAUUAUUCUCAACUGUUGGUGUUUGGUGUGCCAUCGUGGAUCAUGUGUCCUUCAUCCCCUACCGUGCCCACACAUGUUAAUCUUCAACUCUGUUGGAAGUGGUUUUGUUGAUUCACAGUUUGUAUUAGAUUUGAUAGCCAUUUUGUUGGUUGCUUUCAACUCUGGAAGGUGGAUGUUCAUUUUUCCAUCAUAUUUGCAGAUGGAUAUCUUCUUAUAAUAAUCGUUGGAUCUGAAAUUCUUUCUGAAUCAUAAUAAUUAAGUAAAGGCUGAUGUUACAUGCUUCUUAAUCAGUUGAUUGAGAAUGUAUUUACAAACCACCCUACCUUUGCUAAUCAGGAAAAUUUUAUAGAACACCCAUCAGAAAAAAAAUAUAAAACAACCCACAUCUGCAGGAAUCAAUGGCCUCUCUAGCCUCCCUGACCGGCAACUGCAAGCAGGCAAUAGUGAUUGUUAAGCUAGUCUACGGGACGCGAGAGUAAUUGGGUUUGGCAGUGGCGGCAUAACUGCUGGACCUGGACGGCUCUACUGGAGCUUACAUCUCCUGAGGAAACCUGACCAUGGACUCUUAUCAUCUUCUUUUUCAUUAAGCCUUCCAUAGGUCACACUCUUUAAAAGUUUUGACAAGUAAGAUAUGACCAGAGUUUCCUGUUUUUAAGCAAUAGACUCGAGGUACUAGUUUGCUACCAUCCAACUCCAUCUGUUCAACAGAUAACGGGUGGCGGGUUACACAUUAAUUAGUCACUCUCUAGAAUUCUUCUUAAUUUCAAUGGAUUAAAGGUGAGGUCUCAAUCUCAGUAGCUGGAUUAAGAUUUGGAGAGACAUUUAUGAAUGAUAGAGGAUAAUUGCGAUUUUCUAUUUGAAAACUUUCAGAGUCGUUUUCUCCUUGUCCAGUUGUCCCAAAUCAAGUGCUCCUAGCAUUUAGGUAACAUAUUUUUUGGAUUAGAAAUCUGAAUAGAUUUGAAUAUUUUUAAAAUUUGAAAGGGUUUGAAUUUCUUUUAAAGUUUGAAUAGAACAGAAUAAUAGUAUUUAACUAACGUGUUUGUUUUUCUUAAUAGUUGAAUAUAAGAGGUUUUUUUAUAAAUAAAGAACAUUUUAAACAUAGUCAUUUGACAUUUAUGUCCUUACAAGUCAAAAUAAAAAGAUUAAAUUUUAGAGUUUAAAAAAUAGACUUAUUUUAUAAAGAUAGUUUUAUAUAUAAUAUUUAUUUAUUAUCCAGAUUUUUUUUUUAUUUAAAUAAAAGUCACAAGUAUGAGGCUAUUUGAGGUUCUGGAUCCACCAAUUUUCUCUCUAUACCUUUUUAAUUAAGAAUUUUAUUAUCUAAAUAAUCUUUGAAAAAUUACUUAACUAACUUUGCUUUCUCUUCUCAAUUCCUCAAAUUCACAUUAAUUCAUUCAAGUAUAUUUCUUUACUUGCAAAUAAUUAAUAUUACUAACUGAAAAGAACAAAAACUAACCAUUUAAAAAUGAAUAUCAACAAAUUUUUUAUUAGUUAUGAAAAUAAAUAUCAUGAAAUUAAUUUUUACUAAACACAAAAGCUAGUAGACAUCAAGAUCUUUAGACAUAGAAAACAUGAACUAGAGAUCGUGAUAUAUUAAGAGAGAUCGAAAAAUAAAUAAAAAAGAGAGUGAAAUUGAGUGUUUAAUUUAUAAAAUAUGAAAGUAGAGAGAGAAUAUGCAAUUGUAAGAUAAAAAGAGAGAGAUUAUUAAAGGGUAAUUUUGAGAUCUUAAAAUUUAAAUAUUUUAAUAAUGAAUUCAAUUUUUAAAAUGGGUGUAUAAAAAAUUUUGAUAGGUUCAAAUAGUCCCACCCCAAUUGCAAAAGUUUACUUUUUUUUUUUAAAGUCUAAAUGUAAAAGUAUGAAAAUCAAAUAUAAAUUACAAAAAAUUAAUAAAUUUUUUUAAAAAAAAUUAAUAAAAAUUAAAUUUCAUACAUUUAACAAACAAUCUCUUAGUUAACUCAGUCAAGCAUAUUUCCAUUUUUUACUUCUAUAUAAAAAUUCUCCCAACUUGAGGGUGACUGUGUGGCUAUUAACAAAAAGGUGGGCAUGGUACUUCCACUAGCUGGUGUGUGUGUGUGAAGCAACGAAUGAAACAAAAGACGAAAGAAAUUAUACCGCUAGUAAUGCAGCGCUUCGAUAAUAAUGCACAAGGAAUAUGCCACCACAGUUUUAAUACAAAUGUUAUGUACCCAAGUUUACAAGAGUGGCAUCACUCUUUUACUACAUAGGUUGUCUUGCUUUCCUUAUGACAACUGAGGCGUGGUUUGGUUUUUACAUUUGGCAGCUUAGUUGCUGAAUCUUUAAGCUGUAUACUGAAACAAAAAUAAGCUCCACAACCACAACCACAAGUGAUAAGAAAUUAUUGUUAGGCAAUAGUUAGUGAUGCUGUUUAACAAUCAGACGUGUUCGUUAGAUACCCAUAAACAAAUGAGAAAUAAGUUUUAUCCGAGAGCCUCAUAAACUUCCUCUUAACAAUUAGAGCUUCUAUUUCACUACAAUUGUUUCUUAAAAAUCUAGAACCCAGAUGGUGCCUUAAUUACACUAGAAAAGAACACUAUAAUCGUUUGCAAGUGAUAUCCAGUCCAAAUGCUGACAGAGGGGGGCAUUAAAAAUGGCGCCUCUAUGGUGUUGCUCUGACAUCCUCUAUCAGUAUUUAAAUCCAAAUGCUGAAACAUAGGCAUCGAAACGACACCCUUAUGGUGCCGUUAUUGGUCGCCUCUCCAUCAGCCUUUGGGCUGAAUAACACUCAUAAUAGUUUCAUGUAUACUUACUUAAUAAGUAAGUCUAUGAGUGCGUUUGACACAUUGUAUUAUAUUAUGUUGUAUUAUAUUAUUUUAAUAUUAGUGUAUUAUAUUAUGUUGUAUUGCAUUAGUAUUGUAUUAUAAUAAUGUUGUACAAAGUUUGGUGCUACAUUAUACUGUAUUAAUUUUUUUGUGAUUAACUUAAAUUAUAUAUUUAGAAAAUAAUAUUUAUUAGUAAUUAGAAAAAUACAAAAUAUAGAAGUCUUAAAUUUUAGAAAUUUAAUAUUAUUUUUUAGUAUAAAUAUAAAAAAAAAACAAAUUUUCCAUAAAGAUUGAAGCUUAUAGCCUUAUAAUCGACAGCAUAACAUUUAUUUUAAAUUAAUAUUAUUUAAAUUUAUUCAUAUAUAAAUAUUUUUAUUAGUUAUAUUAAAUUUUUAUAUAUUAAUUAACAUAAUUUAAUUAAAUAAUUUAAUAUCAAGUUAUAUUCUUAUUUUUAUAUAUUAUUUAAGUACUUAUUAAUCAAUUUGAUAUAUUAAUUAUUAUAUAAUUAAAUAAUACAUUAUUUAGUAAUAUUUUUAAUAUAAUAAAAAUUAAAAUAUGAAUAAUAAACUAUUAAUUUAUAUUAAUAAUUAUGAUAUAAAAAUAAAAGAAAAUAAAAAUUAAUAUUAUAUUAUAUUAUAUUAAAAAGUUAUAUUAUUUAUUAUUAUUAAAAAAAAGCAAAAGCAAAAGUUAAAAAAAAAAAGAAAAAACCGGCAAAUACAAUGUACCAAACAUGCCCUAUAUGCAUCAUUGCAUUGUGAAAAUUACUUAAUAUUAUGGAAAAUUAAACCUCCCUCUUUCCUCAAACAUAGAUUAUAUCUUAUCAUUGGUGUUCUUCAUAAUCAUACCGCAACUUCAUUAGGACCAGAACAGACAUUGAACCACAAGCCUUAGAUGAUGAAAUUACAACUGACAACUGGUUCAAGUUCGAGGUGAAAGAUGAGUAUAUGAUGUGAAAACUUACUAAAAAUAUAUGAUAAAAUUUGUCAGCGUAUUCUGAUACCUCCCAACCGGACCGGUCACAAGUAUUUUUCCCAUCAAAAUUCAAAUUCAGUACAAGUGGUCCUUCUUGGUUCCAGGCUACCAGCUGGUCCCUUCUACGCAUAUAGGACGACAGUGGCACUAGCUAGGAUCGGCCCCGUCGGACUUGGAUAUAAGCAAUAAGUAACACUUAAUCAAGCUGAUUAUGGGCAUGGGAAAUUGAGAUUACGUUGAUGUACUUUUUGUGCUAUUAUGUUCACUAAUUUGGAAUCAACACAAUCAUUACUGUCAGUCUCUUCAAAAUGUAGACUAUGUGCAAUUUAGUCAUUUUUGCAUCAUAGUACAUCUUCAUCUAAGUGUCAUUUCUGAGCUUUUCAACCGUGGGGAGCCUGGAAAAUUUAGCUUUUUUUCACAUGCAGGCACAUGGGUAAAGGCUAAGACUUAAUAAAAGAGUCAACAAUCAGAGGCAAUGAAAAUUGGAAAAAGUAAAUGCUUGCAUUAAGAGCAGUGAGCUCCGAAGUGAAAAAUAAACGUGAACGGAGAUCUCAUAUGGUCAAUUAAUUUUACUCUGUUUCAGAAAAGACAAAUCCUAAGAUGCCACUUUACCUUCUCUAUACACCUUUCCAGAAGUUUCCCCAUUCCUCCAAAAUGGUAAAAACUUACCGCACUUUCACUUUCAUGUUAGAAAUAGAGGGCUCAAAGAGAUAGGUGGAGUAAAUGAGUUAGAAAACAACACAUGAAACAAAUAGGCACUAGUCCUUUUCUUCACUUGCUGUCUUUCAGCAUUGAAUUUUUUGCAAACCCCCAAGUGUUUGAUAAUUUUCAUCAUUUUAGAGUACGAAGGGUAAAUAAUUAACUUCGUUCGCUCGUUGGAGUUACCAGAGCCUAAAACAUUCCCAAAUCUAUAGAAGUAGUUGUUUUUUGGGUAAAUAACAACAAUAAGUGCAGUCUAUUUUGGGAUAAUUAGAAGGAGAUUUGCAAAAAGAUCUAAAUGAUCCAUUAUUAUUAAGUCAUGUAGUACUCUACUCUAACAUCUAUAAAUCUCUCUUCAAUGACAAGACCCCCAUCCUUUUUCUCUCAUUGUCUUUUGUUGGUGGCCCUUUCUCUUUCUCUCUGUCUCUCUGUCUGUCUGUCUCUCUCUCUCUCUCUCUCUCUGUGUCUCCCUUUUGAUCUUUCAGACAAGUAAUUAACCGAUCGUCAUCAUCAAGCAAAACACAGCAUGUCUGCACUCAACCAUCUGUUUGAUCUCCCUGAACAAAUAUGCUAUGUGCAAUGUGGUUUCUGCACUACCAUUUUGCUGGUGACUAAUUAAUAUUGCAUCAUUUCAUUUAUGUACCAACUUGUUGGUUUUGUAAAAUUAUUUGUGGUUGGCUUUUGGAAAUAUGCAGGUGAGUGUCCCAUGUAGCAGCAUGUCAAUGGUGGUGACAGUGAGAUGUGGCCACUGCACAAGCCUCCUCUCUGUUAACAUGAUGAAAGCUUCAUUUGUUCCUCUUCAUCUUCUAGCUUCUUUUAGCCAUGAUGAUGAGGUAUUUAUGCGUGUGUUUAAAUUGUCUUUUAAUUAUAUUUACUUGAGAAUCAAAUCAAAGACCAAGAUUAUAUAUGUACAUAAGUGAGUGUGUGUUUGCUGUCUUUGAUAUGGUUCAUAAUAUUCUCCACUAAAAUUAAUUGUAACACAAAAUUCAAAGUUACUUUUCAAUGUCUUUGAGGUCCUUUCUUCUCUACUUAUAGCCUAAAGAAGAAUUUCGUAAGGAAGAGGUGCAAGCUGAUCAGAAGGCCUUCAACAGAUUUAGCCCUUCAAUUUUGACCUCUUCUGACAAUGAAGAAGAAGACACCGGCAGUGUGGUCAAUCACGUCGUUAACAAACGUAUAUAUGCGUGCCAAUCUUGUAAUUAAUUAAGCUCUGGAGGAAACUAUUUGAUGUAUAAAGCUUAUAUAUUCUUAUUAUUCAACUGAUAUUUAAUUAUGUUGUGAUUUUGUUAACAGCUCCUGAGAAGAGACAAAGAGCUCCAUCAGCUUAUAACCGUUUCAUCAAGUAAUAUUGUGGCUUGUAUUACAAUAUAUAAAUACAUCUAUGCCAUUUAUGUAGGAACUCUGAUCAAUUUGAUUUUCAUGCAUGGCUGCACCUGCAGGGAAGAAAUCAGAAGGCUAAAGACUGAAAAUCCAAACAUGGCUCACAAGGAAGCCUUCAGCACCGCUGCCAAAAAUGUAAGGCCACUAGAAAUCAACACGAGUAACAUGCAUGUUUCAAUUUUAUUGGACAGCAUCCGAAAAUAUCAACAAUUUCAUUAAUUAAAAAGAAAGAGGUAGUGACAUGGAACGAAUGAAGGGCUUUCUUUUUCCUUUUUUCAAUUAUGAGCUUAAAUUCUGGUCGUGUUUGACAACUCUCAGUGGGCCCAAUGUCCUCCAAUUCAGCACAAAGGAGAUGGAGAAAGCUGCGGUGGCCAAGAAGAGGAAAAGCGAGCUUGGAACUUUGAAGCUACCGAUCGGGUCAGUAUAUAUAUAUAUAUUUAUUAUUUUUUUUUUUUCAUAUUUUUAGUUUGGAAACUGUGACAAGCUGCAACAUGGACUGAUUCAUUUUUUAAACUGCCUUUCGGGUACAAAAAAUAAUCACGCUUUGACCGUUUGUUAUAGUUGUAUGAUAAUCAAAUUAUUUGUAUACACAAUCUGAUGAAUCAUAUAACUUUACAAGGUGAUGGGACGAUAGGGUUUCACCUAUCAAAUCACAACCAUCCAUUUUGGAAAACUUACAAACAUAAUGUGUAUCUUUAAACGCACGUGUGCAUAUAUGUAGACGAUCAAUCAUUUAAUACAACCCUAUCUUGAUACUCCAUUUUGUUCAGGUUCAGUUUUGGAACGUAUUUUCUAAAGAACGGUGAUAAUAAGUUAAGACUCAAAGGCUACAUGUUUCCAAACAUUAUGUUAAUACAAACCUAUCACCCUUACAAUUAUGAAUUUGUGUUGACUAAAUCCAGUUCAUGAUGAUGAUGAGGUGACCAAGUCAAUUGAUAAUACAAACUAAUUUUAUAAGGAUUAGAGAUAGAAGUUGCCAAAAUCAACCAUGAUUAGAAAGAAUAUGGUAAGUAACACGGUGUCGUUUAUCAAUAUUCUUGAAUUUAAAAAAAAGGCAAGUCACUUUCUUGGAGUUCAACAACUCACGUAGUGAAAUUUAUGAGGGCUAUAUAUGGUAAUAACUUAAUUAUAUGUCACUGAAAUGGUAGCUUGACUUUUCUGUUCGCAAAACUUUUCAGGUUCACGUACAAGGCAAUGGUUUCCGCGAAAGAAAAGCUCCAAGGCAUUCCUUCAGGGCGAAGUACAACCUUUGAGUGAAAACGAUCGACUUUGCAUAAAAUUAAAUCACCUUAUAUAAAAAGAAAGUGUUGUAUCUCUUUUAGGGUUUAAAUCAUUUGACUUUUUAAGGAAGAUGCUCUUGGAAAUGAGGUUUGAACAUUUCACUUCUAGUAGUAGUAGGCGAGUUUCCACUGACAAAAAAGAAGCUCCAGCUUUCAGAGAGCUCUUAGUUAGAGGUUAAAAUUUAUUUUAGUUAAAUAUCUAUUGUGCUAAACUAUCUUCUAGUUAUUUGAUCAUAAAUGUUUCUUAGUUAAUUGGGUUUAUGGAUUGGAUUAUGGUCAAUGAUAUAUAUAAGUGUGUGUGUGUGUGUAUUGAUGAAUUUAGAGUCUGCUGUAUAACGAUGAAAUAAAUAAGAGAUGAAAAACAUAUUACUAUAAUAGCAGUACGUUUAUGUAUCACUAUGCAAAAGCUUCUGGUAAAUAUGGAUCGAUCGGUUUACAGUGAACUAAUCAAUAACUAACUAAAUAUCAUCGGCUUGCCCUCUAAAAAAUAAGAAAAAGAAGAAGAAAAAUAAACCAUUCUCUAGUUAUAUAUCACAUCUUCAUUUUUGUUCUAUGAUCGAUCCUUUAAUUCGAUCACCAUUCAGGAAUCGCGACUGUUUUUAUUCACAUCCAUCGUUUCCUUCUUGUGAAUCUCGGUGCCCUUUGAUCAAUAGACCUCCCUACUCCAUGGAAAAGGAAUUUAAAUGCACACUCUCACCAAUAGUACUAAUAAUAAUAAUAAUUACAAAAAGCUUCAAAUAUAUAUAACAUCAUUGGAAUCAACAAAUUAAAUGACUUCGUGAAAGUUUUACAGAGUAAUUAGAAGCUCAUGAAGUUAAAUUAAGUUAAUAAAACAAGAUGAGGUCUUACUCAUGAAAGGCCUUGGAGAAAUAGAAUGAAAAUAUGCUCGAAAGAAGUCCUUGUUCUCCUUUUGUAGCUCCCUCCAUACUGCAAGCAUGAUGCCCCCACUAAGUUUUACCAAUGAAUUAACCAACUAAAAUAGACUUACUGUACUUCAAUUUUCAUGUUAAUGUGUUCGGUGUUUAUGGCGUAUAUAUAUAUGGUAUGUGCAGAAAUAUCGAUAAAUAAUUAUAUACCUGUAAGUGUGACAAGCGGGCGAAUACCGGCGUGCUCUGCUAGUGCCUUGAUGCACUGGUCUCGGCUCAUGUGAAGGAGCAAGCACCUCUCUAUAAGAUGCUGAACCUGUUUUAAUUAAUUUCCAUGCAAAAACCACAUAUCAGUGAUUAAGUAUUGGUUAAAAUUAUGUACCUAUAUAACGGGGUAUAAUUAAUAGAUAUAUGCAAUUUUUCAAAGACUAGUAAGCCAAGCUAGCAAAUAUAUAUAUAUAUAUAUAUAUAUAUAUAUAACUAACCAUUCUAAUGUAGCUAUGUGGGUGGCAAUGCAAGCAAGGAAAGAAAUGGUGGUUACGAUACAUAUUGCUCUCUUCAGUGUUGAUGAUUAUACUAUAGAAGUGGAAAGCAAACAAAACAAAUAGAACAAAAGAAGGAAGUCAAGGAAACAGAAAGAGAGCAAAAGAAGAAUGCAAACAAAUGGUUAAAAGUGAAAGGAAGAAGAAGAUAUUUAGAGAAUAUAUGUACAAAAAAGAAAUUAAUACUAGGAGGAGUACGUAAUUCAAGAGAGAGUGCUUUGUUAUCCACAGAUAUCCAAGCGAAGGGCCAAAAAAGCACAAGAAAUCCAAACGAUAGAUUCACCUCAUCUUGAGGAGAUAAGAGGUCGAUGAUUUUUUGAAGAGUCUGACACAUCUUUUUGCUUAUUUAUUUAUUUUCGACGAUGACAUCCCCGCAGCCGUUCGAGCAACAACGCACCCUUCGCUGCACACACACACACACACACACCCAUUUGCUUCCUGUACAGCGGCCGGUCCUACAUUCUUCAGCCACCUUCAAUGUUUAGUGGUCCCUUAUCCUUGAUGGUUACCAUAACUGUGUGCCUACCAAGUACCAAAUAUAGUCUAGUUCUUACUUAAGGUAAUUAAGUAUAUAAUUACGCUUGUCCCCAUCUUUAUUAGGUAGCUCUUUUUCGAUGUAUGUGCUUAUAAAAUUAGAGUGCAAAAUUUGUAUCCAAAUGAUGUGGUAUAUGAUGUGUGGUUCAUUUAUGUAGUAUGAUGAAACUAUCUCAUUAAUUAUGGUAUGAAAAUCAUUUAUAUAUUACUAAAUACAUGACAGUUAUUAAUGGUACCAUAUCAUUUGGGAUUAAAAUUUUAUAAGUCUUUUGUCAUUUGAAUUAGCUUUUAUAUGGGUUUCUAGCCAAUAUAACUAGGGCUUGCAUUAGUAAAUUUAAAGUAAUUCUCUAAUCAUGAACUAGUUUUUAAGUGUGAGUUAAGAUUCACAAGUCCAAUAUCUAAUUAUGUCGGGUCAAAUAUAUUUGAUUUGACUGUCGAACGGGCUUUCGUACCAUUUAAUUUCAAUUUGGUUGAACAAAAUUUUUAGGCAAUUGCUACUAAGUUAUUACUGGCGUAACUUUGAAAACAACACAAAAAGUAGUAAUAAGUUAUGGGGUCCGCAUGUGUUUUAUGAGAAAACUUUAUAAACUUCUUGAUGGUAAAAAAACUACAAUUUGAUUUGGUGGUUAAAGCACUUCUGAGCAUUUGAUGAAUAAUGAAUUAUAGAUCUUUCGUGUACAAAACACAAGCCACCCGUCUUGGUUUUAAUUUGAAAAUUUGGAGAGACUCAAAUUUUUGUAUAUUAAAUCAUCUGAUGUUCAAAGAUAUUGAUGGAAUGAGAUGAUCAUAUUGGCCUCAUCACCACAAUUGCCGAAGAACAACAUCCAAUCAUUAUAUCGUGUCUGGUUUUCCAACGAAGGUACAAUAAACGUGUAAAUCAUGUUAAAUACGAAAGAGUUUGAAAGAUUUCACAAUUUAGGAACAAUCGUUUAUCAACCAACUCUUUUGGUUGGUUAUAACAUUAAUUGCCUAAGAAUUUAUUUCAGGUUCCAAGGCUAAGAAAACUAAUACCAAUAAAUAUAGUCUCUUAGCCUAAGAAGUAAUAAAAUCUUAGGCAAUUUGAUUUUAGGUUAAUAUUUCUCUUGGUUGUAAAAUCAUACUUCACUUUUUUGGUUGAUUAUAAAAAAAAAUUUCUAACGUUAGGUGAGAUUAUUUGAAUCCAUCAUAAUAUUCACUAAAUUACAUAAACUUAAUAAACCUACCACCAAAUUUUAAAUUUUACUUUUUACUCUCUAUAUCUUUAUUAGAUAUCUGUUGUCAAAUUUUAAAAUUUUACUUUUCACUCUGUAUACCCUUGUUAAAUAUUCGUUAUUCAGUUUUCUUUAAGCGAUUUGUAUUGUCAAGGUUUCAUGAUUUUUAAUGUUUUUUAACUAAGUCCUAGGCUUGUUGCAAUGGUAAUUUUCCUCUUUUUUUCCAGAACUGAAACUCUCAAACCAAUCAUGAAACACUGAUGUAAAAUAUAAUAAAACUCAAAUGUUUAUGUCAAUAUGCAAGGGAUUUUUUUUUCUUGGAACAGAAUAGAAGUUUAAUUUAUGUCAAAUUAGGUAAGCCUUUGAUUUUAUUUAUCAAAGACAAUUUAAGUUAAUUUAGUUGAUGUCAUCAAAGGGAGCAAUGGUAGAUAUUUAAUAUAUGUUAAGAAUUGCAGAAAAACCUUUAAAGAGAAAAACACGACAAGACUCUUUCUAUUCGUUCGUCCUUAUCAGAAAUCCGCUACACAAAGAUUCAGCUUAAUUGACUCAUCCCCAUUAAGCACCAGUGCUUCUAUAGUUCUGUUUCUUCUCAACUUCUCAGUCAGCUCUACAAUUGUGUCCUCAUUGCACGCAAAUUCUAAGAUAAAUCGCAUACAAACUUUUUGACCUUUGACCCUUAUUUUUCUACUUUCCAUAGAGCAUACAUAGUAGUAAUAGUUAUUCGUGUUGCUGGGAGAAGAUUUCUAAUUGAAAGAAUAUGAAAAGCAACAUCUUACACAGCACACAAGUGAAUUAUCAAAAGCUUAAGAGGACUUUGAAGGGGUGGCAAAAGCUUCGCUCUUAUGGCUGCCUAUUCAUUCGUAACCCAGAAAAUGGCAAAAACCAACACGAUCCACAAUCAAGUGAAUUAUCAAAAUUCAAGACGAACAAUCUCAAGGUAUCAACCACUCUGGUCAUGUCUAAAAUUGAAGAUAUUUGCCAAACCACCUUGUGCUAGUCCGCUAAUGCAAUUUGCUCAAGCAAUUACUUACUUGUCACCAGCCCCAGACCCAGAUCCACUUAAAAAAAUAGUCACCUCUUCAUUCUGUACCUGCUUAAGCAAAACCUUUUAGCCCUAUGUACACUUUAGUCAAAAACAACUACAAAUCCCUCAUACUAUCAGAUUGGCCUCACGAAUGAGUAAAUAAGUUACCACGACGAAUACCAACUCAGUUAACGAUACGACCAUAUCUACCAAGGAAAACAAAUUCAAACAACUAAAACAAUCUCAAGCACUUGAAACGCAGCUGCCAAUUUAGGUUCAUUACAUAUAACAAACUAUGACACACACACACACACACCCAAAAUUAUCCAUGACUUGGGUAAGAGUUAAGUCUUUAAUGCAUUUGAUGCCUAAUAUUCCUCAAUACUAAACAUAACGGCAAGUGCUCACACAGACAUUACAAUAUGGAAGUUGACAUGCAGAUGCAACAGGCAACAUGAACAAAACCAACUUCAGGUCCAUCCAUGGGCUUCCUCAGCUGGUGUCAGACUUAUCCAAUGCUGCAACAAAGUCAAAAAUCAGUGCAAGUAAACAACUGAGGAAUAUCCACAACCAUGAAAGACACAUUAACAGAAAGAAAGAGGGAGAAAAAGCCCAAGAGAGAUUACUGUUGUAGUUAAGAAGCUUUUCAAUGAGGUCAACGUGAGUCAUAAGCAUUCGCCUACAGCAAUAGCGGACCAACCCCAAGGCAUCAAGUGCGUCUCUGCAUACCAAACAGUCAUAAGCAAAACUCUAUACCAAAAAAAAAAAAUGCUUAUAUAGUUGAAUCUAAUCUUUUAUACCAGUAAAAGUUUGGUAGCCUACCAUAAAUGAAAUACAAGGACUAACAUUCAUUCACAUUCAAACAAACACGUGGUUGCUAGAAAUCACAUGGUAAAAUCCUACAGCUCUACAGAGUACAGAUUACAGGAUCAAAUUUCAAAUAAAUCACACAUAUAUAAACAAUGUGCUUACAGAUCCAUGGCUGUCCAAAUUUACACAUCAGUGAACCAGCCGACAAAAUAGUAAUGCAUAAAUAUUAAAAAAUAAAAGUAAGACCAGUAAUCUUAGCACAUUCAAGCUUGCAAUUCCUAAUUCCCAAACACACAAUUCACAACCUGCAUUAAAUCAAAGUGGCCUAGAACGAAAAAAAAAGAAGAAAAAAAACAGAGGAAAAUAUCCCAAAAACCUCUCAAAAGAAGAUCAAGAAGGCCAGAUUGCAAGAAACGCGAAAGAUUAACAAUGGUCUACAGACUACAACUGUUCAAAUAAAUUAAGGAAUAUAAAAAAAAAAAACAGAGAAUUACCCUUCAGGAUAAUCAGCCUGUAGAAGAUCAAGAUAGGUGUCCCAUUUGUUUCCGAUGACCUAAUAUCACAAUAAUCAAAACAAAAUUAUAAAAAAAAAAAAAAAAACCUAGAACCAUCCAUGGAGACAAAAAAUAGAUUCUCUGUCAUAAAAAGAGAAAUUACCUUGCCGCAAGUGAAGCAACGAACUGGGAUUAUCAUCUUCCUUGAGUCUUACGCUCGAGUCGCCUCUUUCUCCCUUCUCUCCUGCGAAUCGUUUGUCACCCUAGAGCAAGACUGGUGGAGGCACGGGGUUCAAAUUCUGUCCAGCUUUAUACGAAGACCUCGCCGCCCUUAGAAAACUGACCAUAAUCUGUGAACUUAUAGUUGUGUUUGUGACCAAUAUUAUACUUGUACUGACUAAAAUACCCAUGGGUCGAUUUGAUGCCGGCCCGUAAGUUCCAGCAAAAGCCCAACUCUUCAACCCGGUUAAAAAGACGUGAAUUUUUCGAUCCGGUUGCUUAAACCCGCGCGGACCCGGCAUCCGGGUGUGAAAAUAUGCCGCAAGAAUUCAAAGCACUGGCCUACUUUAGAAUAUGGAUGAGGAGGGCGGUCCGGCAAAUGAUGCUUUAGUCUGUUAAACGUGUUCCAAUUCAAACAAAAUUUUGAUCAUAUCCUACACGCGUAUUGACAUUGACUGUCACCUUUUUAUUUCCCCCCCCCCUCCCCCCCUAUUAUUCAAUAUUUUUUUUUCAACAUAUAAUAAGAAUGAUUUUGGUCGGUUUUUAACAUAUAUACGAGGAGAAAUUUUAUAUUAUUAUGAUGCGAUAGGAGCCAGGAGGCUUCUUCUAUUGAAAAUUAUUUAAAUUUUUGUCAUCAUUCAAUUGAUUUUAACACCAAUUCAUUUGCUUUUUUGACGGUGGUGGUCUGAAUACGACUCAAUCUAGCCUCAAAUUAUUGGACUGUUUUAUUAAAAAAGAAAUGUAAUUGUUAAAUUUUCAAUUAAACAAAGUUAUUGCUUUAAAACGUGUAUCACAUUUAUGAUAUCAGUCAUACAUUAUAAACCUAAACAUGCAUGAAAAAUGUACAUUGUCAUAAAAGAUUUCUCACCUUACAAUAUUGAUUGCUGCGAGCAUUAUUAUAUCAGUUUGUAUAACCAAUCAAAACCAUAAAAGAUAAUACAAAAGGAGUUAAUUGGAUACAUAUCUAUAGCGAGGGAGUCUAAUAUUGUGUGUGUUAUGUCUAAUGAUAGAUGUAUUGUUGGCUAAUGUGUCUUUAAUGCACUUUUUCCCUCCAUAUCUAAUUAAUUUUUAUGAUAUCAUGAAUAAAAAAUUACGACGUUAAUACUGUAAAUAAAUAUAAAUUAUAUAAAUAAAACAUAAAACUGUAAAUAAAUAUAAAUAAAACAUUAGACUUAUAAAUUCAACAUAAAUUUUGUAAUUGUUUGUUAAAAUUUUGAAAUCUGAAAUUUUAUAAAUUUCGGACCUUUUUAAAAAUUUGUUUAUUUAUUUUUUGGAAUUUAUAUAUGAUUUUAAGAUAUUUACAUCGGAAUAGAAAAAUAAAAUUUGUGACUAUUAUCUCGAUGCCAAAUAUAUAUUUAAAAUAUAUUUAUUUCCUAAACUAAAAUAUUAGUCAUUUUUUUGUUUUGAUUUGCAAUGAUAUAAAUGUCAAAUAACUAUGUUUAAAAUUUUUUUAUUUAUAAAAACAAACAAAAUGCCACUUAUAUUUAGACAUUAAAAUAAAAAAAUGAACAUGUCAUUCAAAUAUUUGUAUUCAAAUCCAUUCAAAUUUUAGAAAAAUUCAUAUUUAUUCAUAUUUCUUUUUAAAAAAACUAUUUAACUGUAAAAUAAAAUAUAAAUUUUAGAAAUGGAACAUAAAACUUGUAAACAUAAAGUUAAAUAAGUAAAAUAAUAUAAAAUGGAUAAAUUUAUUGAUUACUGUAAACAAAAUGAAAAAUAUACAAAUAUAACAUAAAAUUAGUAAAUCAUCAUUAACUGAAAAAUAAAAUAUAAAUUUUGUAAAGGGAAUGUAAGACUUAUAAAUAAAAGAUAACAUAAGUAAAUUAAUGUAUUACCGAUAAAUAAGACAAAAACUUGUAAAUAUGAUAUAAAACUAAUAAAUCAAUAUUAAGUGCAAAAUAAAACAUAAAUUUUAAAAAUGGAGUAGAAGACUUGUAAAUAGAAAGUAAAAUAAGUAAAUUAAUAUAAAAUUAGUAAAUUGAUGAUUUGAUAUAUUAUUGAUAAACAAAAGAAAAGCUUACAAAUAUAAUAUAAAACUAGUAAAUCAAUAGAAGUGCAAAAUAAAAUACAAAUUUUGAAAAUGUAAAAUAAGACACAAAUAAAAAAUAAAAUAAGUAAAACAAUAUAAGAGUGGCAAAUUGGUUUCUUACUAUUAAGCAAAAUAAAAACUUAUAAAAAUCAACAUCAAGUGUAAAAUAAAAUAUAAAUUUUAUAUAUUGCACCUAAAAUUUGUUAAUGAAAGGUAAAAUAAGUAAAUUGAUGCAAGAGUUAUUCAAAAAAAAAAAAAGAAUGCAAAUUGAAAAUAAAAACUCAUUAUAAUAUUGAUUACCAUAUAUAUUUAUUGAUUUUGUAUUUAAAUUGAAUAAUAAUAGUUUUGGAUUUAUAUAAUAUGCAUAAUGUUUUAUUAAGGAUAGAAUAUAUUUUCAAAUUUGAAUUUUAAAAACCUAUUCUUUUAAUGUUUUGUAAAGCUUUUGUAAGAUUAGAUGAUUAUAUAUUCUUCUACAUUUCCUCAACAACAACCUAAAAUAGUCUUUGAGUACAAGUAAGGAGCAAAAUUUAAAACUACACAAAAUAUGCAAAAGACUCAAAAUUAGAUCUAAUUUAAUUGAUAUAUCAUAUAUGUGUUUAGUAAUAUAAGAAUAGAGUGAUGAUACAGCCACAAACUCUUAUACAAACUUAUCUUGUACAAAUUGAUUUGACAUUAAUUCAUUUGUUGAAUAAAAAUACAAAAUUAUAAAAACAGAUCAUGUGGGCCAAGAGAUAUUUAAUUCAACCAAUUUUAUCAUGCCACAUUAGUUUGUACAAAAUAAAUUUAUACAAGAAUUUGUUACUAUAUUAUUACUCUUUUAGUUUUAGUUACUUAAGGUAAAUGAAUAAACUAUUUUUCACUAUAACUUUAUAGAAACACUGCUAAUUGUUUUAAUAAUUAAAAAUUUAUAUAUUUUACUUUCUAUUUACUAAUUUUAUGUAUAAUUUAUAAAAUUUAUAUUUAUCAUGGAUAAAUCUGUGGUGCAACUGUGGUACCGUGCCACAGUUGCACCCAACCGUUGGAUUCCCACUUAUUCAAGUGGACCCUACUCAUUUGAGUGGAUCCAACGGCUGGUGCAACUAUGGCACGGUACCACAGUUGCAAUGUAGCCUGACCCAUUUAUCAUACUUGUGAUAUCGUAAUUUUAACCACAUUAUAGAAUUUGCAUUGUGGGUGCUUCUUUUUCUGUCAAAAACGUUCAACAUUAUAAGGGAAUCUUCAAAGCUAAAAUAGGAAACUAUACAAUAUUGGCUUGGCGAUGAAAAAAAAAAAAAUUGUAAAUACGGUUAGAAAUAAUUUUAUCAAAAUAUUGGGACGUGGGGUCCUUGAAAAUAAAAAUACAAUUAAUUAUCAAAUUGCAAUCUUCCACGAUCGCAACCAUUCAUUCCACUUUCAUUGAACUUCGAUAUGUUUUUGAAGCUUUGCUUCUGACUCCACACCAUUCAAUUACAAGAAAAAAAUGAAAAAAACAAGACUAGUAACAAAACUUGAAAAUUCGGCAAUUGAUAUGACACGACACGAUGAUUGAUUCAGCCAGCGUGCAAUGUACAUACAUUGAUCAUAUCAUAGAAUCUGGCACGUCACUGCAGUCUUCACUCCCACCGUGUGAUUUCCAGAGAAUCCGACGCGAUCUUGAUAAUCAUGAACCAUACAACAAGGAACACAAGGUUGGUUUUAAUAAAAUUUGUUUAUAUUUAUUAAUUAUAAAUGCAAGCAGCAGCAGCAUCAUUUGAGUUGAGUUUUUGGUUUUGGAGGGUGGUUAGCUGAUUCCGUGAAGCAAGGGACCAUCAAUGCCUCGUCGUUUUGCUCACCCGCCAAAAUUUACCCGCCAACUACAAGACUGAGGCCCAGUGGGACCCACGAAUGGGGAAGAAGAAGCAGUCAGCCAACCGCGCACUCUCUCUUUUCCCGCUUUUAUAUUAAAUUCUUGUUGAAUGGGCCUCGUACCGACCACCACGGCAUCUCUGCUCAUUCGUAUUGCACAAUGAUUCUUGGUUUAGUAAUCCUAAUUUUUUUUUUUCUAUUUUGUAUUUUAUUUUGGGUCACCAUUUGUUGCUGGUUUAUUUCAACCGUUUUAAGUUUGGGAAGCGUCCGCCGGUGUGAUUAAAAAAAAAUAAAAAAAUAAAUCAAAACUCACAAGAGAUAAAAAAAAAAAAAAAAAAGCAACCAAUCAGUUGGAUUGAAUUCAUAACUCGUUUUUUGAGUAAAGAUCAAUUGGAAAUUUUUCUCAAGACUGAUUGGGUUGAUUCGGUUUGAUCUUUAUAACCUCUCGCUUAAUGUUUGUUUGACUUUAUAAUUCGGGUUUCACAGAUUAAAUGCAUUAGUAUUUUUUUUUUUUUGACCUGCUUGGUAGGUUAGCGAAACUCAUUUUAUGGUGUCAUCCAAAGUUCAUUUGUCCGGUCUAACGGCCCAACAUUCCGCUUAAAAACCAGGAAACUGAGAAUGCUUACAAGAGUAAAGCCGGUUGAGACGGCAGACGGGGACUGUUUGUCAUUAGAAGAAUUUAUGCUGAACGGGACUAUAUAUUAUGAUAAAAGUUUUUUUAUUACUUCACAUAAUUGUUAAUAAUUUAGUCUCUUUUUUUUUUUAAUUAGGUGAUAAUUUAGUUUUUUAUUUUUCCAAAAAAAAAGGUUGCUAAAAUUUUCCCUUAAAUAAUAAAUACGACAGGGAAGAUAAAGGAGGUAAAUUAAGCGUAAUAAAUUUUCAAGAGUAAAAAACAAAAAGAAAAUCGAGAAUGUUGGUAACGGAUGGUGAAGGAGUGCAGGUUACAUGAAACAACAGUUAUCAAGCAGAAAUCAAGAAACCAAAACAAAAACCGCUCGUUUUUUCGUCUCCAAUUGUGGGCUCCACUCCCACACUGUUAAACUUAAACCGGACGUUUUACACGUUACAAAAUCCAACCCACUGCACCGCAAGCAAUUUCACUUUCACAUUUAACACAAUAACACUCACUUGGUGCUGUUCCGUUGUUCUUAAACUGGAAUUUAUCAACAAACAAAUAAAUUAAUUCAUUAAUAGAUAAUACAACCCAUUAACCAAAAGCAAACAAAAACAAAAAGAAACCACAUCAGUUUGCGUAACCCCAACUUAAGUGUCUGUCCGCAGUAUCACCACCACCGAUUCAUUCAUUCAUUUCCUUUCAAUAAUUUACCCCCACUCCCACAGCACCUUCUCUCUGUCUCCUCUUUUUUUUUUUUUUUCUUUUUCCUCCUCUCACUCAUUUAAGGAUUCAUUUACGUUACCAUUCAGCCUCUUCCGCUUCAUUUUCGUAUGACUUUUAGAUCCUAGAUGAUCGCUUGCUCUUUCUGAUUGCAUUUUCAGGUGUUUGUUCUCAACUGGGUUUUCUCUUUUGGGCUCUCUUUUGUUUUGUUUAUUGAUUUUUGUUCUGUUUAGAUGAUCAAAAAAGAUUUUUUUUUUCUCUCUGGGUUUCAUCUUGUUUUUGUUUGUGAUGAUACUGCAGGAUCUUGGGCAGUGGUUGUUUUCUUGAAGUGAAUCAAAUAGUCUGCGUCUUGCACAGGUAGAAGGCUGUUCUUUUAUGUUCUUAUUUGAUGCUUGUCUUCAUGAUGCGGGUUAAUCUCUGCUCUUGAUCUAUUAGCUUUUAGUGAUUCUUUUUGCUUUCUACUAUCUCGGUUUUUUCUUUAUAAUUGGUCAAAUAUGAUUUUUUUUUUUUUUUGGAUUCUUGAUAAUCUCUUAUCAUCUUGAUGUGAUGACGACCAUAAUUGUUUAUAUAAAAAAUUAGAAAAAUAAAUUUUUGGUUACAAUCCAUGUAUCCCUGUUCAUUUCCCCUGCACCAACAUCUUAAGUUGGUUAUCUGGGUUUUCAGAUGCUUAUGUUUCUUAAUCUCCAGGUUGAAUGUUUCUUUUGAUUAUAAUCACCUUUCUCUUUUCAAGUUUCCAAAACAUUUAUGAUUAUUUGUAUUUUUUCUGCCUUGCAUGGUUUGCAUUUACUAUUUAUACUGAAUAUCUAUCUGUUUGGCAGUCCCGUAUGUGGGUUUUAAUGAUCUAAAUAGAUUUAUGUCACUUUCUCCUUUUGUUUCAGUUUACCUAAAUGCUCUAAAAGUUGUAACGUACUGAUGAUAAUUUUUGAUGUUCUGCUACCAUCUUUGGAGUGGUCUUUAAAGGCCGAUAAUUUUUAACUAAAUACGGGCUUGUGUGCAUUCAUGUGCUUCCCAGAAUUGAUUGAUUUAUCAUGUGAUGUUUUGUAUGAAUAUAUUGUGAAUAACAUGAAAGUUAAAUUGUGUUUAAUUCAUUGAGAAUCGAUGGGAGUCUAUGCUGCAAUUAGAAUGUAGUCCGUCCUCAUUUUGUUGACACAUGCUAAUAACUAAAUGCUUUGAUUCAUAAGCUUAUGCCAUAUUUUGUCGGUUACAUUGUGCGCAUACUGCAAGAAUAUUCUAAACUGGUAUUCAAAUUGCCUGCCCUCACCUUAUUAUGAAUCUUGUAUCCUGUGUUUUCUGCUUCUGAAAUACUGAAACUUAUUAAUAAUCCUUCUAAGAUUUUUGUAGAAAGUUGUUUGCGUUUUAAUGAGAUGUGAGUUAUUGUUUUCCAGUUAUAUGAACUAAGUUUCCUAUGGGAGCAGAGUUCCAUAAAUAUGUGUUUUCAUAAACUUCUAAUGUCAUAGCUAGAUGUCUUUCAUGUUAACCAAAAAACUAAAAUUUGUCAUCUUUUACCUUGAAUUUCGCUAGCACAGGCAUUCCCCAGAAGUUUCCCUGAUCCUGCUGUAACUUACACUUCAAUUUUUAUGCAGGUGAAUAUAGCGACCUUUCUAACUGCUGUAUAUUUAGCAUAAUUAGCCCUAUCAUUGUAAAAUGUUGGGAGGCAAUAAUGGCAAUCCUGUUGUUCCAGUUUUCCUGGAUGAGAAUAGUUUUCAGUAUCAGACUAAUGCAUCAAAUCAGCUGCAGUUGUUUGGAAACUGUAAGCCCAUUUCUCAUUGAAUUAACAUAUUCAUUUUUUCCAUUUGUUUGCUUCAUUAUUUUCCUUUAUAUUUUUCUAUUGAGUACUUUGCCCCAUUCCUUUUCUUCCUUUGAAAGCUGUUUUACUUGCAAAAAGAAAAUGAAUUGCGAAAAUUAAAUCUCUCGGAGAGUUGGACGUUUAGUUGUUUUGGACUGAUUGUAAUGUCCAAUCCUUGUUUCAGUACCGGCUGGGUGUAGCAUUGAUCCUGUCAAUUAUUUUGGGAAUGAGCAUAUCCAUCCUAUGCUUCGGCCCAACAAACGUGGCAGGGAAACAGAAGAUUUCUCAAGGCAGCAAAAGCUGCAGAUCUCUUUGAAUUCAAACAUCUGUCAAGAUGAAGCCGAUCGCUCAGCAAGCAUUCUGAAUCCCAAUCCUGUAUCUACAGGGUUAAGGCUAUCCUAUGAUGAUGAUGAACGCAACUCAUCUGUAACUUCUGCAAGUGGAAGUAUGACUGCAGCACCACCAAUCAUCUUGUCCCUUGCUGAUAAUGUUAGGACUGAGCUUGAUCGGCAGAAAGAAGAAUUUGAUCAAUAUAUCAAAGUUCAGGUACCUAUGGUCUCUAAGCGUAGCUACAGUUGCUUUUCCAGGACAUGCCAUUGCUUUACGUCUAUAUCAAAUUUGUUCUCUGUACAUUUUUUCUUGGUAUGUAUCAAAUGAUCUGAUGCUUGAUUAUGCACCAUCUGAAACCUAGGAUUCCAGGAUUCCUGAGAUGACUAGGACUGGUAGAAUCUUCUCCAUUUCCAUACACCAUAGGAUGUUGAACUCAGUGAUCAUCUAAUUGCAUAUUUGUUUAUUAUAAUGACAUAUUGGUAUCGUUAGAGUCUUCAAAUUCAUCUUCAUCUUUAUUACUCUUUUUGAACAGGAAGAAUACUUGGCAAAGGGGGUUCAGGACAUGAAGCAGAGACACAUGGCUUCAUUCCUUUCAGCUAUUGAAAAAGGUCUCGCCAAAAAACUGCAGGAGAAGGACAUGGAGAUAGAAAACAUGAACCGGAAGAACAGGGAACUGAUUGAGAGAAUAAAGCAAAUGGCUGCUGAAGCUCAGAAUUGGCACUACAGGGCUAAGUACAAUGAGUCUGUUGUUAAUUUACUUAAGAGCAACCUGCAGCAGGCAAUUUCACAGGGUGCUGACCAAGGGAAGGAAGGAUUUGGAGACAGUGAAGUUGACGAUGCUGCCUCAUACAUCAACACUAACAACUAUCUGACCGUUCCAAGUGGGCCUGGAAAAUCCAUCUCCCGGAAUCAUCAGAUGAUCUGCAGAGCAUGCAAGGCAAAGGAGGCCUCUGUCUUGUUGAUGCCCUGUAGGCAUCUGUGUUUAUGUAAAGAUUGUGAUGUGUUAGUUGCCGUUUGUCCAGUAUGCCAGUUUGUGAAAAAUGCUAGUGUCCUGGUGCACCUGUCCUAAACUGUGAAGCAAAUUAUCCAAAAAUGAAAAGUUACCUGCGCCCUUCCUGUGUGAUAGUUGGGGUUUUCUUUGUUGAAAUCUUGAAUUUUAUGUUCAGUAAUCAACCAUUGCCAAAAAGAUGGAAUUGCAUAAUUUUCUUUGGUGUAUGCCAUCACACUUUAGCUUUGAUUUUGCAUAUUGUCAGAAGGUAAGAUUUUGGGCUUUGCUUAAAUGUUUGCUUAGGUCACCAUUCGGUCCUAUUCUUUCCAUCUGACGGAUAUAAGAAGUGCUCAUUUUCAUUGUGCAAUUUAGUUGCUUUUGUGUGUGUAAACUCACACUCAAAAGUCUUUGGUGUAUGCCAUCACACUUUAGCUUUGAUUUUGCAUAUUGUCAGAAGGUAAGAUUUUGCGCGUUGCUUAAAUGUUUGCUUAGGUCACCAUUCGGUCCUACUCUUUCCAUGUGACGGAUAUAAGAAGUGCUCAUUUUCAUUGUGCAAUUUAGUUGCUUUUGUGUGUGUAAACUCACACUCAAAAGUCUUAACACUUCCUGCAGUGGCGACUAGUUUACUCUGUCUCUUGUUAGCCAUUAACCAAACAGCCAUUCAAAUUCAGAAAAACAAGCAAACUUUAUAUUGAUCAAACUUUGUUAAUGCAUUCAGGGUCCUUUUCCAAAUACUAAUAAAAGAAUAAGAUUUAUAUUGAUCAAGGUUACAUGCUACACAUUGUUGGACAUUGUUUCAACAAAGGACAAUAAGCAUGAAAUUUUCACAUGGAUUCAACACUAAAAAGAAAAAGGAAAAAAAUUAAAAGAAUAAAAAUCUGUGGUCACCAAAAAUUAAGAUCUGAUGGCCACAGUUUACAGGCGCCAGGCGAAGUGAUGUGCCAUUGACCAGAAGGAGGAGCAACAUAAUGAUUGUUACAAAAGGUGAAACUGAAAAACCCAAUUGGUGCAUCCAGCUGAGUUUCUCCAUUCCCCAAAAUUUAUUAGAUUCUUCUUCUAUUGUCAAUUCUUGGUUUCUUUGAUGCUGGUCCAGCUUGUAGAUGCUCAGUACUAGAUUCAAUCUAAAAGAAGAAGAGAGAAGAUAGAGAAUAAAUUUUUUAGAACAGUAGCUAAUUUCUAGGAAGGAAAAUGAAGCCACAAAGGCUUAUCACCUUAUUGAGCUUCUCCCUCACCAAUCGAACUGUCUGAUUCAUUGAUUGAGAUGCAAAAUAAUCCUGGGAUGGAAUUACAGUAGAAUACAAAAUUGUUAGUCCGGGGAAAUCAGCCAUCUAUCAACUUCCAGUCUUCCACCACUUUGCACGAUAAAGUUCAAAUAUUUAACAAGAACAUGUCAAGUAAUAUUAAAACUAUACUGUGCCUAAUAAAUACCCACAAAUGAUCCAAAUGACUAUGUUUCUAUAAGACAUGAACAUUGAGCAAAACAUUUAACGUAAAGGUGAGAAACCCUAAAUGGAGGAAUAAUUUUUUAUUGUCUAACAAAUGCCUGAAAAUAUCAAACUAAAAUUAGGUGGAAUUUAGCAGGGAUUAAGCAUUAGAGAGUACAAUUAACCCGCCCUGAUUGAAGAUCAGUAUGCUGCUUCUCUUAUGCUUUCAUUGCAUAGACAUUUCAAUUGUAGUUCUUCACAAUAUUCUUAAGGGAACAAUGGUGACUAAGACACAAUACUGAGAUCCCAAAAAAAAAAAAAAAUGACAUUGCAUAUAAGGUACUCAAGAUUAGCAACCAUGCACCUGAUGGUGAACUUAACAAUUUGACCCAAGUCAACCCACUUGGGUUUAGUAACAGUAAAGUGGAACUGAAUUGUGCACUGAAUUUUUAAGUUCAGGCUUAUGCUGGCAAUUACCAAAAUCACAACCCCAAGUUCCUAAGUGCGACCAUGAGUAAUUGCUACGUCGACUUAUGAAAGAUACAGAAGCUAUUGGUUGUAUUGCACACUGAUUCUGCUUUCAAAAAGGUAUGGCAAGGAAAGGAAAAAAGAUUAGUAACAUGCCUUGUCAGAGGAAACCCUUGUGAUGGGAGACUCGUUAACAUGAGAAAUGUGUUGUGAUUCACUGGAGGCCCUACAGAGAGGAAAGACAAUCAGAUGUACUAUCACAACAAUAAAUUUAUAUGGCUUUAUUAAAAUGAAAAAAAAUAAAAAUAAAUUUGAACAACCUUUGCCAAGAAGUGAUCUGCUCAGAUACCAGGUUAGGUUGCACGGGAGCUGUGACCAAUGAUGGUUCGCCUAAAUCAACUGAACUAUGAAUGUUAGGCACUUUUGAUCUUCCAGCUGACAUAAAUAAAUUAUAAAACGUGAGCUACAAAUCAGCACAAGCAAUUAAUUUUAACACAAAUAUUCCCAUCACAUGCCUCACACAUAAUAGCAAGUAAAAAGAAAAAAGAAAAGUGCUCACAAUUCAAUCUGGCUAGAACUUCCUUUCUUCUAGUUUCCAACUUAUCUUUGGUAUCAGCAAGACUCUCAAACUGAGAAGCAUAUGAAACCUUCAGUCUAUUGCCAAGGAAAACAAACUCGUCCAACUUUCGUUUCGCAAAUCUACCCAGUUUCUCAAGGCAAACACGAAUAUUCAAAAUCAGAAACACGGAUUAAUGAACCUACAACAUGAAUUAUAAAAGUUCAGAAUCAAAUUAAUUAUAAAUUCACCUGGCAUUGCUGAACAGGCGAAAUUUGAUAAAAUAAACAUCAGUAAAUGGAUCACAGUCUUCUGCAUCCAUUGGUUUACACCUAAAAUAAUAAUAAUAAUAAUAAUUAGUUAACCUAACCUAAAAAGUUGUCGCAAUUGUACACAAAAAUAAAGAGACAAAAGAUAGGUUACAAGCUUACUUACUCUUCGAUGUCUCCAUAAGUAGCGAACAAUUUCAACAAAUCAUCGCCGCAACCUAAAGACGGAACGUUCCUAACAAUCAAGUACCUGAAGUAAUAAAAACUAAGAGUGAAUUCAAACAAAGAAAUCAUCGAAACUGAUCUUGGUUCUUUGAGAGCAAGAUGAAGACCUAGAUUCGUCGCAGACGGUGUAUACGCGAACUCCAGGGGGCUCGUCUUUGUAUCGAGGCAUGCUCUGCUUCCAAACCCUAGCAAUGAAAUGUAGCCGUUGUUCUCCGUUACAAAUUAUAAUAAACCAGUAUUCACUGCGGCCAGUAGGAAUGCCAACUUGUAAGAUUUUGGCGCCUUUUUUGUUUUUUCCCCCCCUUUUCACACUGUAAAACUCGUUGCUCAAACCAUCACCAUGAUAGAUCACAAACUUUUAUUUUUUAUCUUUUCAUGAAAUGGUAAUAUCUAUAUAUAUUUUCUAAUUUUAAAGUUAAUAUCGCGUAAAACAAAUGGGGGGUUUGAUUAAAAAAACCCAAUACAUAAUUUGGUAUUUCACUUUCACCAAAAUUAAAGCACAGCAAAUAAUUUAAUGCCACGUGUCGGAGUAAGCAGAAUAGUGGUCAAUCAGAUAAUGAGGAAUCUCACCGCUGCCAGAUUGGCGGCGGGCGUUAUCUAAUUGAGAAUCCGAAUAAGACAAAACCGUGGUGGUUUUCGUGCUAAAUAAAUGCGGGAAGGCGUUUCGUUAACGCUUCCUUGUAAUAUCCAAUAAGAGAGACGGAAAGGAAACUUUCCCUCUUGCACUUGCUGCCGCACCAUAGCCGGCGGAAUUCCCAGGUACUUAUCCAAUCCAAUCCUAAUUGCUUUCAAUUCCAAGUAACGACUAAACAAUUAAAAUAGUCAGAAUCUAUUUAAAAGAUGCAAAAUUCUUUCUUUUUCUUUUUCUUUUUUUCCUUUUGAUUUUGAUGAAGAUUCAGCUUUUUUUUUUUCUGCUAAAAGAAUCAAACUUAUUGAAUAACUUGGUUUUAUGGUUCAUGUAAUGAUUGAUUGAGGAAUAUUAAAAUUGAAACAAAUGGAGUUUCUAUUUCAUGCUUACGUUUUCCUUUAAAUUCUUGAUGAUAGCCUCUGUUUGACUUCUAGAUAGAAUAAAAGGUGCCCUUAGGAAGGGUAGUGAGGGAGAAGAAAGAUCUUUUGACUUCAAAAUGUGGUGACUACUGGUGAGGCAGGGAAUUUUUCUUCUUCUUCUUCCCUUUUUUUUUUGGAAAAAAAAAAAGAAAGUAAACCUUUCAUUGAAUUAGCAAGAGAACAGAUACAACACAUCAGCUGGAAAUUCAUCCAACCAUACGACAGAUUCUAUUUUUCUUAAGGCUAGUUCAGCUAAAGAAUAGCUAUGGUGUUACAUUAUCUAGUAAUGUGUUGAGCUUUGACCUUUAGAAAAGAUUUUUACGGUGUUGCUAAUUUGAAGAAGGUACUCUAUCUAACUGGGUCAAUAAUGCUACCAUCUCUUUGAGGGAUCAUUGUCAAAUUCACUCCCCUCUGUUUGAAUAGACUCUCUGUUAGCUGCUCUUUCUUCCUCUUGCAUGUCAAUUGUCAUCGAAUUCUUCCCUUAUUAUUAUUUUUAUUUUUUUUUGGUUUUUUUUGUGUGUGCGCGCACGCCUGCACUUGGGGUGAGGGUUUACAGGGUCACUGCAUUGUGCAAAAAAAACAAAAAAUUUUAUGAGACUGUUUCUUUUAAUCAUCCUUCUCAGCUAGGGACUAGUUUUUAGUUUUGUUCUUUAUCUGAGGGUUAGUUCUCAAAGUUUUGUAUUCAGCAGUCUUGACAAACUUGUACCUGGAGAAUGGCUGCUUCUGUGUGUUGUACAGGAAACAUAGUAAUAGUUCUUUCUUGCUUUAUUUUGUUGUUUUCAGAAGGUUGGGGUUCAGUGCAUUGCAUAGGGAAGAUCUACCAGCAGUGUCACCUUGAAAAUUGGGAACUGCAUCCUUCUGCAAAGUAAGGAGAUGGGAUCUGAAGGGCCAAAGGCUGUAACCAUACAUAUAAAUGGAUUUAAGAAGUUUCAAGGGAUUGCUGAAAACCCUACAGAGACUGUAGUUAACAAUCUAAAGGCUUAUGUUGAAAGAAGAGGACUGCCAGCUGGUGUUACUUUAGGCAGUUGCACUGUUCUGGAGGCAGCUGGAGAUGGUGCACUUCCCACACUUUUAAAGACCUUGGAAUCGAGCAUAUCUCAAACAAAUUCAAACAAUGAACAAGUCAUCUGGGUUAGCUUUGUUCUGCAACUUCAUUUAGUUUUAAAAAUUGCUAAUAUUUUGGAAUUUAUAUGUAAUAUAGGAGAGGAAAUUCUCACACAUUUUUUUUCUUUUGAAUGGUUAAUUAGUUUACUAAGAGCAGCCAUGUUUAGGCCUGUGAAUUGUGACACCAACUCUACAACACGGCUGUUGAAGCCUAAUUCAAAAGGAAAUAAGAAUCCAUGAGACUUCUCAGGAUGCCUCACUAUCGCUCAGUUUUGAGGCUGACCAGAAAAUUUCGUGCAAAUUGAACAUAGAAAAGCCCGGCGAACUUUUAAAAAUUAUAUUAGUAGAUGCUUUGUGCAUAGUCUAAAUAUAAGGGUAGUCGUAUCUCUUAAAUUUCUAGUUGUUUUUAGUCAAUCAUUGCUUCACUUCUUUUUUUUACCCCCUCCUUCUUUGCAUUUGCUUUGUUAUUACUGGUUGCUCCUUUUCAUUCUCUUUUUUUCACUAUAGUCGACCUUCAACUGUUGCUGUUGUCUGUCUACUUUAUGUUUUUGGUAUAUUGGCUGCUUGUAUCCUCUGGGACUUGGCUUUAAAGCAUUUCACUCUCAUUGGGAGGCGCUGGGCCCCACAGGCUAGCUCCCCAAUGUGAGGUGCGCAACAACGUGCUCUAGAUCAAUUGCAUUGAAUUCAUAUAUGUAAUAAAAUUGCCGAUCACAAAAAUGUCAGUCCACGAAUUCACCUUUUCAUUUUUGGAUUAAAUAGUGUGUCUAAGAAGACUUAAAUUUUGUUGCUUUUUCAGAUUCAUGUGGGGGUAAAUAGUGGGUCAUCAAAGUUUGCCUUAGAGCGGCGAGCAGUGAAUGAAGCCACGUUCCUUUGUCCAGACCAACUGGGAUGGCAACCUCAGGUAAAUUUGUUUUGUCUUCCAUCAAAAUAGCAAUUCUCUUAAACUCUUUUGGCCAAGAUCCUUAACCUUUUUUCCUUCCUGGAUUACAUUGUUUGCAAAGGAGCCAUUUCAAUUACUCCAUUCCCUCUGUGGAAAAUGGAGGCUAUAACUUAUACAGUAGCCUUCUGAAUCCAGAAUAUAUGUAUGUUUUUAUACCUUUCAUAUAUUCCUAAUGUGAAGUAAAUCCCUUAACAUGAAAAAAUGUAAAACACUUCUGGAACUUGAAUAUAAAAUUGCCUUUCAUAGUUUUUUACACUGAAUUUUCUUUUGCUUUUUCCAGCAAAUUCCAGUAGUCCUUGAGGAUGGAGGAAUUUCCCGAUCAAGACAGGUAAUCUGAGAGCACCCUUCCUCCACUCUCCUCUCCAAUUUCCAUGUAUGAGAUUAGGAGUUUUCUUUUUUAUUUUUUUUUUGGGAUUUAUAGUAUCAAUAACCUUAUCACUUACCGUUAGACAUAAGUAUGUGACAUUUUGAAUUCUCUGUUCUUUCUCUGGCUCUCUCCUCGUUUGUUUAACAUUUUCAUCUUCUGUUUCUUGAAGACAUCUCUAUCCACUGAAGCAAUCCUGAAGUUCUUGAAGAAGAAGGGCUUUGAUGUAGUUAUAUCUGACGAUGCAGGCCGUUUCGUUUGCAAUUAUGUCUAUUACCACUCACUUCGGUUUGCAGAGCAGAAGGGUCACAAGUCUCUGUUUGUCCAUGUUCCUCUCUUCUCAACAAUUGAUGAAGACACUCAGAUGCAAUUCGUAGCCACACUCUUCGAGGCCGUUGCAUCAACAUGUUGAAUAUAUGAUUAUUUGAAUUUCCAUCUGUUUUCUCUUGUGUUGUUGGUGUGUAAUGAAACAACUGUAUCAAUAUGAUUAUGAAAUAAUAAUUUGCUUUACGUCCACCUGCCUAGGACUGACUUCUUGUUAGAGAGAUGAGCACUCACGGAGUAGUUAUCUUUGCCAUGGGACUAAACGUCUUGUUUAUAUGGAGAUAGUUUAAUGGGGGGAGGAUGUUGAUUGUUUUCAGUUUGUUCAUUUAUUUUUCAUGACCUUGUUCUGUUUUUCGUUUUAUAGAAUAUUAUGAGGUGCUGGUGUGAUUUUGUUUGUUUUGGCCGACCAGCUCGGAGUUGCCUUGAAGAAAAAGAAUGGAAAAUAUAUAUAUAUAUAUACAGAGUGUACUCUGUAAUGAGCUAUUUAAUAGUGUUAAUAUGAUUAUGAGCUGAUUUGAAAACAUUUUCACAAGCUCCCAAGACGGACAUAUAGAGUAUUCCUUCAUUUGUGCUUUAAGAGCUUAAUGUUAAGCGCUAAAUUACUGCCUCGUGUCCGUACCAUAACAACCUUGGCACCAACGUGCACGUCAAUAGUUCCGCUAAGCUCCUCUCUGCUACUAGAUUCAUACUGUCAACCCAAUCCUCAGCUGAAUAUAUACUCCAGUAACCGUACAAUCGAUGAUUUCGUAAAGUCUGGGCAUUUAAACUCUGCUAAAAAA